UAGCACCCUUGAUGGUACAACAUCACUCUUCUGACAGAUGGUUCGAGCCCUAAAAGAUUAGCGAGUUUAUAAUCUGCACCAGGCAUUUCUACACCUGAGGUUGUACAAAAUACAAGGUGGGUGAUCUUCGAUUUAGGUUGACCCCACUCUUUAAGAGCCUUCAAUGCUGCUUCCUUACCAAGCUUGGGUACCUCAGCAGUGAUAAUCUCUUGGCGUAUGUUAAGAGAUGGAGCCAUAUAAGCACCAAUGUUUGGGUGCUCUUCAAGCAUUUCUUCGGUCAAAUGAAUGUAACGCUUCUUGAUCAUGGAUUUGUCACCUGUAUAUAAAUUAAAUAACAGUAAUAUGUAAGCUCAAGGCACACUAGUGAAACAAAAUCAAUUCAAUGGGUAGAUUGAUUGUUCAAGAUGAUCAAACAUUGUUCAACUGAGUGUAAAAAGAUUCAUCUUAAUACAAUAUAAAAGCUUAUUUUUUAUUACAUCAAUUAAUAACGUGAUCCCAUGCGUUAUACUAUGUGAUUCAAAGAGCACCUGCUCAUACCAUCACUCACAGAUGCACUGUAUUAAUUUAAAAUGAGUACACAGAAAGCUUGAAAAUGAUGUUUCAGUGGUCGUAGGGGAAUCAUAUGUAUAUGAAGGAUGUUAAAAUUAUACUUACAAAUGCGGUUGAACUUCUUCUUGAGCUCGGUCAUGUGCUCGCUUUUAGUGACCCGGAAAUAGUAAUCAGCGAAAUCAGACUGGUACAGACAGUUGUCCGGGGUAGCUGUGCCAAUGGCUAGAACGGUGGCCGGACCCUUGGCACGCUGAGCAUUUCUAAUUUCCUCCACAGACGCCAUUGAUAGUGUGUGAUGACUACUGAAAUGGAAGCUUCAAAGUUGAAGAAGGAAAGAGAAAUGAAAUUUUAGGAGCACAAGUGCUUGGAGCUGUCUGGCCAAAGUUGUGUGUUGAGGUUGGUAUUUAUAAUCACCACAAAUGCUGUCUCACCAACUCUCAUCCACUUCCAUGUAGGUAGGCUUGCAUUUGAAUAAUCCGGUGCCAUGGGGUUUGAUUUCCAUCUUGGUAGGCUUCGGUUUUCAUUCUUUAUUUUAUUUUUCUGUCUUUCUUCUUCCUCUAAAGCUCUUUUGGUCUUCUAAACCCACGUAAGGCGGUUGGAAGCUUACCCUUUUUGACUCCAAGUUGGUAGCAUCACUUUCAUAUCCCCCGAGUACUAUUUGACAAAAGACCCAAAAUUUUCACGUGCUGGGCCAGCUGCUGCCGGCUGGACCAAGCCGAUGAUCAAUAUUAAUGCAGAACGUUAGGAAACCUGUAAUAUUUCAAGUCAUAAAUAUAGAUGUUGAAUAAAUAAAUUUAUUGUUUAACAACAAUGAAGGCAAAAAUUAGUUACUAUUAACGAACAUAAAUAUUCGUUAAUUAUUUUUAAAAGUUUUUAUAUUUGAUAUUAUUUAGUUUGUUUUUUUUAAAAAAAAUUCCUUAAUUUUUGAAGGCAGAAGCUCACCCAUUUUGACUCCAAGCUGGUAGGGUCAUUUUCAUAUUCCCAAGUACAAUAAUAUUUGACCAUUGAGGUGGAAUUCUUGACUUGAUCUUCCACAUCAUGUUGGGCCAAGCUAAUUAGGAAAUCUGUAAUGUGGCAGAUUAUAUAUUCAAGUCAUAAAUUAAUAUAUACCUUUUUGUCAAAGUUAUUUACAUCGGAACUUCCUUGAACAAAGUUGAUAUCGAAUAUCACUUGAGAGAAAAAUAUGAUUGAUAAAAAAUAACACUUUCUAACUAACCUUCUAAAUUUUGAAUGAAAGUUGUUUUAGUGUAUUGGAAUUUGUUUAAAAAAAUUAUUAUUGAAUAUAUAUAUAUAUAUUAAAUAAAUAUAAUCAAUGAACUCAAUAAACUUUUUGGUUUGACCUUCCAAUUUUUUCAACAAAAUGACAUAUUUUUUCAACAAAACGACAAAUAUAAGAAAAUCAAGAAUAAAAACGCAAGCAAGGAGGAAUAAUUUGCAAAGUAUCUAAAAUUCAAUCCUCUAUCUAUUAUAGAGAAAACAAAGAGUGGAAAAGUAAUCCAAAAUGUAUCAAAGGUACUCCCUGUUUCAACCUAAUACAUCAAAAACCAACCAUGCAUAAAGGUCGAAAUCUUAUUGAUCCAACUUCUUAUAUUAAAUUUCUUUAGUGAUAAAGGAAGUUCAAAUCAAACCUAAAAUUCUCUAUGGUCAAAAGGAGGUUCAAAGCAUCCCAAAACCUAAAAUUAUUUAGGGUCACAAGGAGUUUUAAAUAAUUCUCUAAAUUCUCUAAAAUUUAAGAUUGGACACUUUUGACAAUUUUUUGAUCGAAUACCUACAAACUCUUAUAAUUACAAUUUUUAGAAAAUUAAGUAAUCUAGAUAUAAUAGAGUAUGAAAAACUAAUUUAUAGGAUACAAAGAAAAAAAUUAAUUUUUAGAAUUCAAAUGAAGUUCAAAAUUAAAAAGAAUAAAACAUAACUAAAUAAAAUAAGAUUUCAAUGGAACAUUGGAGAAGCUAGAAAACAUUUAUAUGUAAAAAUUGCUACUUGAAGAAACAACUAUUUGAAUUGAAGAUGGAUGAAGAAUAGACGGUAGGGAUUAUAUAAAUAAAUUUAAUAAGCGCAUCGUCCGAUUAUUAAGUAUAGCGGUUACGAUUGAUGAGGAAGAUUAACAUAUUUUUUUUAUCGGCAUCCCUACCAAAAUAAUAUGAGCCAGUGGUAACUGUGCUCUUAGUUGAAAAGAUGAUGUUAAUAGUGGAUAAGCCAUCAAUUGCUCUUUUAGAGACAAAAAAUUAAGUAGCCAAGUAGUUCAUCUCAUACAAAACAAGCUCUUGUGAUGAAUUAUAAAUCACAUCGUGGUAACAGCAAGUCAUGAUAGAGAUAUUAUGAUAGGAGAAAUUAUCAUUCUUAAAUCACACUUUUGAACUGAUAUGGAAAUUUAUUACUACCCAAGAAAAGGACAUAUUAAAAGGCACUAUGAAGAAUUGACAAAGCAUGUAGAAACAAGGAAAAAUCUUGAAUCCCAUGAGGCUCUACUAAUAUUCUUGAUGAAAUUUUUGUUGGCUCUUGGAUUUUUGGUUUUGGUGUUCUUUUCAUAUGUGCCCAAAUAAGGAGAGGUUUGAUAUCUAUAAUGAAUGUGAUGCUAGUACUAUAUGAAUGGAUAAUGAAUCAAGCUCUAAAUUGAUCAGGAUUGACACCAUGAUAGUGAAGAUGUUUGAUUGUGUUGUGAGGAUAUUGUGUAAUGUUAAGCAUGCAUGUUCCUAAUUUAAGGAGUAUAAUUUUUUGGGGGGCUUGGGGCUCUUUGGGUUAUGAUUUUUCAGCAAAUAACUAUGUAAUAAAAAUUAAUCAAGGUACUUUGAUAGCUAUGAAAGAGAAAAAGUUCAAAUAUUUAUACACCUUGAUUGAGAAGAUAAUUUUAGGUGAAGCCACACCAUGAAGAGUAUUUUGCUAGUGAUAAAGAAGUUAUCAAAGUAAAAGAGUGCAACAAGACGAUUAAGACUCCAUUUUCAACUAAGGGUACUCAAUGGCAUAAGGAUGAUACUAAUUGCAAAAGGAAUGAAGUUAUAUAUAUAUAAUUUUGUUGAGUCUAGUUGUAUGAGAAUUUGAACUUGAUACAUGUUUAUUAUCAUUAAUUAUGCAAGAUUGAGAGAAUUUGAGUCAAGGUGAAGGUUUAUGGAAGUUGGUUCAAAUAAUUUGUUCUUUAUUUUUAGGAUAGUCAAAUAUUUAUAGAGUUUGUAUUUUAGUAAAUUACCAUUUUAAGUUUGACUAGGAUUAGGAAACUAUUAAUUUAGAUUUAAACCAUAGGGCUUUGUAAAUAUGUUGUUUUAUAUAUAAUUUCAAGAGAGAGUGAAAAGGUUAACAAAGAGCUAUGAGAAUUAGGCAAAGAGUGUCUUAGAUUUUGGGCAGAUAGAGGUUGACGGUGUUUGAGUUUGUAUUUAUGAAGUUUAUUAAUAAAUUUAAUCUCCUUGUGUAGUGGAAGUAGGCAAUUAGGCCAAACUAUGUAAAUCUUUUCCCUUCUCUAAUUUAAUUUAUUUUACCAACUUCAUUUGGGUCAAACAAAAGGAAUACAACAAGGAAGCCCAUUUCCUUGGUUUUUAUGAAUAUAUUUUUACACUAAUUCAAUAUCAAAAUGGUUGCCUUUCAAAUGUUGCUUAAAUCCAUCCUUUUAUGUAGGAAUCACAAAGCUUAGGAUGUAACCCCAUUAAUGAAAUUCAAGAAGGAAUAGCACAAUUGGUUUUAGGUUAUGAUGAAGCCCUCAGGCCUAAUGGAUUUGAAACUUGCAAAAAUCAUACAAUGAGAUAGUGGAUGAACUGGCAAUAGGUACAUCUCAAACUAAUGGUUCUACUUAUAAGGGGUGUAAAGGCGGAUAUCAAAGAAAGAUAACCUUACAUGUGGAUUGCGGUAACUUGAGUCAAGGUGAUAUUGUUGGAAAUUUUGACUCAAAUGAUUUAUUUUUUAAUUUGAGGAAAGUCAAUAUUUGUAUAGUUUAUGUUUAAGUAAAAUAACUUUUUAAGUUUGGCAAGGAUUCAAGAGCUUAUCAUUUAGGUUAGCCUUUGGGACUUCAUAAAUAUGUGGUUUUUUUCAUAGGAUUUCAAGAGAGAGUUAGAAAAGUGAAUGGAAAGUGAAGAGAGAUAGGGAAAGUUUUGGGAAAAUCACAAUACCCAAAUACAAUAGGAAAAACAAAAUAAAUUAGAAAAGAUAAGCGAUUUACAUGGUUCGACCUAAUCAUCUAGGUCUACUAUAAAGGGAAAUCAAAUAUAUAAUAAAAUUCAAAAUGGCAAAAUCACAAAACCUAAAUACACACAGGAAAAAGUAAAAUAAAUUAGAGAAAAGAAAAAAUUUACUUCGUUCAACUUAAUCGCCUAAGUCUAUUAUAGAGGGAGAUCGAAUUUAUUAAUAAAAUUUAGAAAUACAAAAUCAAACUUUGUCAAGCUCUCUUUACCCAAAACCCAAUGCUUAGAGUUUUCAAAGAAAUCAGAAUCCUUCUCAACUUUAGAACUUGCUUAAGAUUAGUCAGUGUCUUGACAACAUAAAAAAUCUUCACAUUCGCAAUACCAAUCCAAAAGGUUUUAGUGCUUGAACCAUUUAUCAUUAAAACUAUAUUAGCAUUGCAUGCCUUAUAGAUAUCAGACCACUCCUUAUAUGGAGGUCCAUAUGAAAUAAACAUCAAAGAGUCAUAAAAAUUUUCAUCAACUAUAGUAGAAAAAACAUUACCUUAUCAAAAUCUUCAUCAACAACAUCAAUUAAUAGAUUUUGAAGUUUCUUAAGAUUCAAGAAUUUUCUUUUCUUCCAGGUGUUUUGUCAUUUCUUCACGGUAUCUUAUGAUACGUUCCUUUUGUGAAAGAGUAACACUCCACAUAUAUCCAAUAGUGUGAUUGGAAAUGAUUAGUUCUUCUAUCUUAAUAUCUCCUCUAUGAUUUACCCCUACUAGAUUAUAAUUUAGACUUCAUCAUAAGAGCUUAUUGGAUAUGAGAUGAACUAUUUGGCUACUUAAUAAUUUUUGUUUCCAGAUCAGUAGUUGACAUCUCAUCCAUAAUAAACGUUUUCUUUCCAUAAAAUAGUAGUUUCAACUUCCUCAUCAAUGUUGACCUUUACGCUCAAUAUAUAGGUUGUACACUUAUUGAAUUUAUUUAUAUGAAGAUCAAUUCCUUCAUUCAUCUUCAAAUUCAUAUAAUUGUUCACUACAAAAAAUUUGAGUUUUACCAACCCACUUAAGUUUACUUUUGUAAUGGAUUUAAGUUGUCGCUUACAUAUGUAAUUUUUUGUGAACAGUAAUUACAAGUUCUUGAGUUUAGACUGAUUAUGUAAGUGUAGACCUUCCAUUUUGUCCCCUUAGCACAUGUGAUACUAAUUGUUUUCCCUAAUAUUUUUCUCUUGCCUUGUGAUCAUCCCUUGGUGACCCAUCGAUACUUAAAUAGCUACUUUUUUUUAGCCACCUUCAAGGAUCCUUUGUUGAUGGAUUUAUCUAGACCUGCACUAUGACCUUGGUUGCCUUUCAAUCUUAGGUUAGGCUUCAUUUAGUUGCGUUUCCACUUAGUUCCCCUAGACAUUGUCUUAGAGACUUAGGUCACUUAGACACCGCUUUGGGAUGGUUUUCACUUAGACUCUUCACUAGGCUUAGUUCACUUAGGUUUGGUUUUUGGUUCAUUUUUGAGUUUUAGGCUUGAGUGAGUUUUCUUUUACUUGAUUCCAUUUUCCGUUCUAUUAUUGCAUAAAAUGGCUUUCUAACAUUUACUUGUGUGAGUGUGAUAUUUCUAUCUUAUUAUUUAUUGCUUUUAGUUUAAUAUCUUGAUUUCUUUUUAUUAUAUACAUUCGAUUUUUAUAUUUAUAUUUCCGCUCGUACUAUUUAUUUAUUUAUUUUAUAGAAUAUUGCACAAGAUUGAUGUUCUUAAUAGCAUAAAUAGAUGUCUUGAUUUCUUGUGUACAUAUAACUGACAUAUUUUUUACAUAUUUUUUUUUUUAAUGGCAUGAUUUCUUAUCUUAUUUAUUUAUUUAUACUUUUUCUUCAAUUUUAUUUUGACAUGAUUAGCUUUUGGAGGGACUGUCAAUGACUUACCAUCUACACGCAAUUGGGAGGAGAAUCCACACAUACCAUUUAAACUCCACAAGGCUGCAAUCGGAAGGAAGAUAUGCACAGUCCACUUUCCAUGAAAAUCUCCACAACACGCAUCAAGGAUAGGGCUAUAGAGUCCUAUAGGGUAACACUAAACAAUAAGAUUUUUUAAUGCUAGCUAGUUGAACUUAAAAAAGUAAUUUAUCCAAAUCUAAACUAUAUUGACUUUCCCAAAAACAAAAAGAAAAAAUUGAGUUAAAAUUACCAACACAUAAGGCCUACUCUAUUGAUCACAAAUGUUAUAUAUUCAUUGAUAUCAAUUUCCUAAUAAGGUAGUAAGCAUAUUCUCAAAUUCUUCUAAACGAAGUCUUUUUGUCUCCAAUGAAACUUUCUUAUACAUUUUUCAUUUUAAAUUUUGAGAUCGUAAUCAAACAAACUAAGUUAUGGUUAAAUGUAUGUGAGUAUUGUGCUUGGACAAGAGAGAUGAUCCAACUUAUUUAUACAAAUCAUCAAUGAAGUAUCACUCAUUAUAGAACUCCUAAUCUAAUUAAGUUAAUACUCCUACACAGUCUUAAUUAAUCCAAUCUAAAUGUAAGAAUUAAUCUAUUGUAACCAUAUAUUAAAAUAUUGCGAAAAUACGUCAAAAGAUCAAAUAUUUUUUAGUGUAUCGAUUAUGGCUAAUAUGAUAUAAGGAGUGAAUAAUUGGUAGAAUGUUAUAAAAUAUGAGAUUUUGUACCACUAUGGUAACUUGUGAAUGAUCAUCCAUAAAUAUCUAUUGUAAUUCCAUAUAAAAGGGAGAGACCCUUAAUGAAAUUGAAUAUAGAGUUUUCCCGUGCAUUCUAUUCUCUUCUUACAUUUUGAUUUCUCUUGUUUUCUUCUCGUUUCACUUUACAAUUUUAUAACACAUUAUCAGCACGACUAGUCUCUACAAAAGAAAUAGAAAGAUUUUUCUCUAUUCAGAAAAAUGGAAAGAUCUUCUCUCUUCUUUCUCACGAAAAAGUAUGUGAUAAACUUAUAUCAUGAAUUUCUAUUUUAUUACCCUUUGAUCUCUAUUUUAAGUUAUUUUAUUUGAAUACAUAAAUAUGUAGAAUCCCUAUAACCAGAAGUUAUGAAAAAUAUGUGCAAUUUCUAUAACCAGAAGUUAUGAGGAAAAAUUACAGAAUUACAGAUACAUGAUUAGAAGUUAUUUAUAUGAUCUCUAAUUAUUUAUUUUUAAUUAUACGGUAUAACUGGAUGUUAUACCAAACAAUAUUAGCCAGAAGCUAUAAAAUAAAUAAAUAAAUGUUCAUAGCCCGAAGUCUACAUAAUGAAAGUUCAUAGCUCGAAGCUAUGCACAAAUCUACCUAAUGAAUAGUUCAUAGCCUGAAUCUAUAUAUAAAUUUAUAUAAAAAAAAAUAGUUCAUAGCCUAAGUGAUGUAAAAAUUUAAAUAUUUUCUUAUUCUGACAAAAUAAUCAUGGUCUGAAGCUAUGAAAGAUAUUAAUUUUUAAUUUCUUUUAAUUAUAUUGUGUAACUAGAAGUUAUACAUAAAUAGUUCAUAGCCUGAAGCUAUGUACAAAUUUGAAUAUUUUCUUAUUUUGGCAAAAUAAUCAUAACUCAAAGUUAUGAAAAAUAUUGGAUUUAAUUUUUAUUUCGUACUCAUUUAUUUUUCACAACAGGAAUUAUGGAAAACAAUUUUUAUUAACAAUUGUUUCAUAGCCAGAAGUUAUGCAUACAAUUUCUAAUUCUCUUGUAUAACCAGAACUUAUUCAAAACAAAAAUGUUAAUGAAUCUUGGAGCUAUGAUUAAAGAAGGAAAUCAAGCAUCCCUAUAGGAUCAUGCAAAAACACUGAUUUUCCUUCGUCAUCAUCUCCAUGAAUGUUUAACAAAAAUGGGCUGUUGAUGAGAAAUCACCAAUCUCGUCCAACUAGAUUUGAAUCAUUCCCUGAAGUGAAUGUAAUAUUGUCCCAAACUCAUGGACGAUGACAACGACAAGGUCGUGGUCAUGGAAGAAAUCCCUAAUACCAUGGUUCUUAUAGUAAUAAUUCACCAAAUUCUCAAAAAAGAAAAACCUCAUUGCACCACUAGAAGUGGAAUAAUACUGAGGUAAAACAAGAAAAUGGGAAGUGUUUACAAGAUAAACCUCCUAAGAACCAUGAGAAUAAUUGUUAUAAAUGUGGUAUGAAGGGGCAUUGGUUGCAUACCUAUCGUACGCCCAACAUUUGGUCGACCUUUACUAAGCAUGAAUAAAAGGAAUGGAAGUUGAAAUGAACUUCAUUGAUAGUGAUGGCCAAGUGGAUCUAACCCAUUUAGAUGUUUCAGAUUUCUUUGAGAAUCCUAAUGGGAAAAUUGACCAUCUAAUUGGUGAUGGAAAUGUUUGUUAUGAUUAAACGUUAUGUUUAGUUAUUUGCAAAUAGGUUUAUUUUGUUAUCAUCUUUGAACACAUUGUUUAUUGUUCAUCUUUUAUAGUUUAUUUCACAUUUUAUUAUUUAUCAUUUAAAUUCUUUUCUUUAUUUAUACUUGAAGAUAUAUGAAUCUCUCUCAUAUAUUGAUCCAUCACUACAAUUAGUUUGAUUAUUGAAAUACCACCUUGUUAUUUCAUGUAUAAAUUGCUCAACACUUACAAAAUCAAAUGUGUGAGAUACUUACGAAAUAUAUAACUUUAAAUUAUCUUUUCAUAUUUGUUUUAUUGUGUUAUAUAUGCUCUCAUUGCUUUUACACAACUUAUUAAGUUAAGUCAUCAUCGAUGACUAAUAUUCUUCCAUUGAUUUUAAUUCUUUCUCUAUGAUAACAUUUCUUCAACUCUACAAAGACAAAGUCUUUAUGACAAUGUUUUAUGACUUAUUAAUUUGAUGAAACUCUUGUCUCAUUAAUUGCACAACAUUGAUGACAAACAAUGUUAAUACUAUAUCAGGUGACAGAAACCUGAUUAAAGGCUCCAGAAGAGCUUAUACUAUGUCACUAGUAGUAUUUGAUUCCAUGUGAAUGACACUUUAUACGAUGAUAGAUCCAGAAGAAUCUUGUAAGACCAACUUGGUCCCCCGGGGUAAAAGGUCAUAUGGAUGUACAUUACAAAACCAGAAGUUUUUAAUUAGUGACUAGUCUACCUAUACACUUAAAAGGUAGAAUGACAUGUUGUGCAGAUUAUCAUUUUAAUGAGACAAUUUUCUCACCGUUAGGGGGAGAAGAGCCAGUUCCAGAAGAACGGCGUGAAAUUAUUUGGAAUGCAUUGACUUUGACUCAUCUUGAUCCUCAUACAAAUCAAUGUGAAUUAGAAGUUCAAAGGACUAUUCAUUUGCAAAAUCUUACAAAUAAAUUACAAGAUGCAUUUAUUGAUACAAAGAAAGUGACAAAAUCAUAUAUCCCGGCUGCAAAUACUCUAGCACAGAUUGAUGUCCUUGUAGGACAGUUAACAAAUUAAUCUAAGAUACGCUUGAAGCGUGGUAGACCUAACGGCUCUAAGGAUGUAACUCUCCGGAAGAGGAGAACCCAAGAAAAACUUAGCACUCUAAAAGAGGCCAUAAAAAAUAACUGAUCAGUUUAAAAUUGAUAAAUCUAUAGCCCUGGAAGAGGCACAAAUAAUACAAGAAGCCCUUGAAGAGGCACAUAUAUUGAACAAAAAGCCCUUGAAGAGGCAUAAGUACCCGAAAAUUCUGAGAUCUCAGUAAGUUAUGUAUACACGGGAGAAAAAUUGGAUCAAAAUAAUAUUAUUUUCACUUUCCAAGUGGCCUUCAUAAGAAAUGAUGAAGAUCUUGAACCACGAAAUGUGGAAGAAUGCCGACAUAGAAAUGAUUGGCCAAAAUGGAAAAAAGUUAUACAGGCAAAGUUAAACUCAUUAAUAAAAUGAGAAGUUUUUGGACCUGUAGUCCAAACACCUGAAGAUGUAAAGCCUGUUGGGUACAAAGGGGUAUUUGUACGAAAACGCAAUGAGAAUAAUGAGAUCAUAAGAUAUAAAGUGUGAUUAGUAGCACAAGGUUUCUCGCAAAAACCUGGUAUUGACUAUGAGAAAACAUUAUUUCCCGUCAUGGACACAAUCACAUAUAAUUUCUUAAUUAGUUUGGCAGUCCAAGAAGGACUAGAUAUGCGUCUCAUGAAUGUUAUUACAGUAUAUUUAUAUGGAUCCAUGGAUAAUGAUAUAUACAUGAAAAUCUCUGAAGGAUUUAAAUUGCCUGAAGCAAAUUGUACAAAGCCUCGUAGCAUGUACUCAAUCAAGUUACAACGAUCCUUGUAUGGAUUAAAGUAAUUUGGAUGCAUGUGGUACAAUCGCUUUAGCGAAUAAUUGCUAAAAGAAGGGUAUAUGAAUAAUCUUUUAUGCCCAUGCAUCUUCAUUAAGAAAUCAGAAACCAGAUUUGCAAUUAUGGCAGUGUAUGUUGAUGACUUAAAUCUUGUUGGAACUCUUGAAGAGCUCACAAAAACAAAAAAUUAAUUGAAAAAUGAAUUUGAGAUGAAAGGUCUUGGAAAAACAAAAUUCUGUCUCGGUUUGCAGAUUAAGCAUUUUCCAAAUGGAGUUUUAUUACAUCAAUCAACAUACAUUAAGAAAGUUUUGAAGCAUUUUUAUAUGGAUAAAGUGCAUCCUUUAAGUUCUCCAAUGAUUGUCCGAUCACUUGAUGUGAAAAAUGACGCAUUUCGUCCUUGCGAAAAAUGAUGAAGAAUUAUUUGGUCCUGAAGUACCAUAUCUUAGUGCUAUUGGUGAACUUAUAUAUCUUGCCAAUUGUAUACGUCCAAACAUUGCUUUUUCUAUCAAUUUAUUAGCAAGAUAUAGUUUCGCUCCAACUCAAAGACAUUGGAAUGGUAUCAAACAUAUAUUGCGUUAUCUUUGCGAAACUACUAGUAUGAGUCUAUUUUACUCAAGAGAAUCAAAGCAACAAUUGCUUGGAUAUGCAGAUGCAGAAUAUCUUUUAGAUCCUUAUAAAGGUAAGUCACAAACAUGGUAUGUGUUUAAUUACAAUGGUACUGUUAUCUCAUGGAGAUCUAUCAAACAAACAAUGGUGGUCACGUCAUCAAAUCAUUCAGAAAUUCUUGCAAUUCAUGAAGCAAGUUGUGAAUAUGUAUGGUUAAGGUCAAUGAUCCAACAUAUUCAAGAAACAUGUGGACUACCUUCCAUUAGAGGCAAUGCAACCAAGUUACAUGAAGAUAAUGUUGCUUGUAUUGCACAAAUUAAAGGAGGAUUCAUAAAAGGUGACAUAACUAAGCAUAUCUCCCCUAAAUUAUUCUAUACUCAUGAGCUCCAAAAGAAAGGUGAGAUCGAUGUUCAACAUAUUCGAUCAUGCAAUAAUCUAGCAGAUUUAUUCACAAAGGCGUUACCUUCGACCGCAUUGAAAAAGUUAAAGUAUGACUUUGGAAUACGAAGAUUGAGAGAUCUACCAUUUGAAAUGUUGAAGAAAUCAUAAUCAUGUUUACAUGAGGAGGAGAAUGAUAAUAUGGAUAUACUGCACUAUUUUUUCCUUCGUCCAAGUUUUGUCCCAAUGGGUUUUACUGGCAAGGUUUUUAACGAGGCAAUUAUAGUAAUCCAAAAGAAUAUUGUACUCUUUUUCCUUCACUAGGGUUUUUCCCAUAGGGUUUUUCCUAGUAAGGUUUUAAUGAGGCAUAUUCUUAUGAUCAUCCAAGGGAGAGUGUUAUAAAAUAUGAGAUUUUGUACCACUAUGGUAACUUGUGGAUGAUCAUCCAUAAAUAUCUCUUGUAACUCCCUAUAAAAGGAAGAGACCCCUAAUGAAAUUGAAUAUAGAGUUUUCCCGUGCAUUCUAUUCUCUUCCUACAUUUUGAUUUCUCUUGUUUUCUUCUCCUUUCACUUUAUAAUUUUACAACAUAGAAAGUUUUUUCAGAUGUUCACCAAAUUUAUUGGGAUUUGCCUUAUACCACGAUGGCAUCUAGAAUGACCUCGCCAAGCGCAAAACUUCAUCCCUAUUAACAUAUGUGCAUAAGUUUUAUAUAUACUAAUUUUAUAUCUUCUAAUAUUUCUAAUAUAUUCAUAUAAAAAAUGAAAUAUUUAAAUACAAUUUUAAUAAAUAAAUUAAUUUUAAUCAUCUUAUUUUUAAAUUUCAUUUAACUAGUUAUUAAAUAUAUAAAAACUAUCAUGAAAAUCUUUUUAAUAAAUUAAUAUUUUUUAUAUCUUUUAUAUAUUGAUUAAAUUCAAGAGAAAUAUAAGCUCAUAAAUAAAAUGACAUAAUUUUUAAAAAAAAUAAUGAUACAUAUAUUAUAAUUUCUUUUAUAUUCUUAAAUACAUCCAAAUUAUAUAGAUCUUAUUUUAGUGGUAUAUCAAAUAAUUGUGUUUUAAUUUUUAUACGUUAUUAUCUAAUGUGACAAAUUUUGUCGUAUUUUGAUAUUUUAUUAUGACUUGAAUAUAUAAUCUACCUCAUUAUAGAUUUCAUAAAAUUUUGUAUUAAUAUCGAAUCGUUAGCUUAGAAGUCAAGAAUCCCAACUCAAUGGUCAAACAAUAUGGUAUGUGGGGCAUAUGAAAGUGAUCCUCCCAGCUUGGAGACAAAAAGUUGUUUUUAUUUUUAUUUAUUUAUUCUUUUUAACAAAUAGAGCAAAUUUUAAAAAUAAUUUUCUGUUUUUAAAUUUACUGCUCUUUGUACCAUGCAUGGAAGCGCCGACAUGGACAUUACCAACAUGGACAUUAGAUCAAAACCUAAAACGAGCAUAAUUCUUUAUGGAUAUUCUCCCGGCGGUGGUAGUUACCCGGUUGCUGAGGUUGCUUCAAAUUACUCACAACUUUUAUUGCCCUUAUUUUCAAACAUAUAUAGAAGGACGAUAUCCUAAGCAGAGAAAGCCAAAGAAACGUAAUCGAGUUGAAUACUUUCUCAGUUCCUACUUCCAGCGGAGGAAUAGAAGAACAGGCAUAGGGGAGGAAGAAAGACAAAAGCAAAAAUAAAUUAAUGAAUGAAAACGGCAGCCUACCAACUUGGACAUCAGAUCAUAUUUCCCUGGAUUAUUCAAAUGCCCAUCUACCUACAUACAAGUCCCCAUUCAUAUAUCAUCAAAUAUAAGCAAAGGAGAAACCAAUUCAAUGACAACUAGAGCUAUCAAAUCCAAUAUUUCUUUUAUUAAUUUACUUUUCAAUAAUGUUCAUAUGAACACAACAUUACAAUGUUUAGGGAAUCUUCAAGAUGAUAAAACAGUCUGAACUUGAAACUCAACCGUUUCAUUUGAGCUCACCAAGAGGGUCUAAUAAUCACUAGAUUACAAUCUAAAUUUAGAAAAAAAUAAUAAAAUAGUAUAAGAGUAUAAUUUAGUUUCGGAGAUAAAUACCUUACUCCUAUUCAACAUAAUAGGACAUUGAAGGGACCAUUCUCUUUUCCUUCACUUAAUUUGUCACCAUAGGAAUGCUAUGCAACACAACAGUUUCAAUAGUCAAGCCUGGUCCAAAACCAAAUAAUACUCCCCAAUCCAAUCCUUCACCUGUGGUGGCCCUCUCCCCCUUAAGGGAUUUCUUUCUCAUCUCAUCCAAAAUAAACAACACACAUGCACUUGACAUGUUUCCAUACUCACUUAGCACAUGCCUCGUUGCUUCGAGUUUCUUUUUAUCUAAAUUGAGUUUUGCUUCAACUGCAUCAAGAAUUGCAGGGCCACCUGGGUGAGCAAUCCAAAAUAAGGAGUUCCAAUCGCUAAUACCAAGUGGGUCAAAAGCCUGAGUCAAACAUUUCUCUAUGUUCUCAGAAAUUAAAGUGGGCACAUUGGGCCACAAAUGAAAGGUGAGUCCCACCUCACGUAAGUUUCCUGCAAUGGCACCUGCAGAAUUAGGAAUAAAUGUUUGGGCUGCUGAGACAAGCUGGAAGAGUGGUCGUUCAAUUGAGAUAUCCGGAUCUGAUCCUACGAUUACAGCUGCAGACCCAUCACCAAAAAGGGCUUGGCCAACUAAAGAGUCCAAAGCAUCUUCGGAAGGGCCGCGAAAUGUAACAACUGUGAUCUCAGAGCACACCACAAGAACUCGUGCUCCUGCAUUAUUCUCUGCAAGAUCCUUAGCGGUUCGAAGGACAGUUCCACCUGCAUAGCACCCUUGAUGGUACAACAUCACUCUUCUGACAGAUGGUUCGAGGCCUAAGAGAUUAGCGAGUUUAUAAUCUGCACCAGGCAUUUCUACACCUGAGGUGGUACAAAAUACAAGGUGGGUGAUCUUCGAUUUAGGCUGACCCCACUCUUUAAGAGCCUUCAAUGCUGCUUCCUUACCGAGCUUGGGUACCUCAGCAGUGAUAAUCUCUUGGCGUAUGUUAAGAGAUGGAGCCAUAUAAGCACCAAUGUUUGGGUGCUCCUCAAGCAUUUCUUCGGUCAAAUGAAUGUAACGCUUCUUGAUCAUGGAUUUGUCACCUGUAAAUGAAAUAACAUGAACACAUUAGUUUUACCAAUCAACAAGUGAUAUAGAAUAUCGUUGAAUAUGAUCGACAUGCAUUUAACAUUGAAGCAAGUAUAAAAGGUUAUUCUUAAUUAUAGCUGGCAAUGCGACAUGAUUCAAAGAACAGCUCUUCAAGCCAUUACAGUCAGAUGAAAUGAAUAUUAGUUACUGAAGUAAAAUAAUUUUCAAGUUUUCUGUAGUAUUUUAUCUAAAAGCUAUACUCUAGAAAGAUUGCAACAUUCAUUCACUUGGAGGUGAGCCUCACCUAGUGUCAGUCACAUAUAUACAGAACUGUUAUGCAUGUAAGAAAUUAAUGCAUGAAUAUACUUACAUAUGCGAUUGAACUUCUUCUUCAACGCAGUCAUGUGCUCGCUCUUAGUGACCCUGAAAUAGUAAUCAGCAUAAUCAGACUGGUAGACACAGUGGUCAGGGGUAGCUGUGCCAAUGGCUAGGAUGGUGGCCGGACCCUUGGCACGUUGAGCGUUUCUAAUUUCCUCGACUGAAGCCAUUGAUCCCAGCUACGUACUCAAAUUAAAGCCUAAGAUUAAGUUGAGGAAGGAAAGAGAACUCAGUGUGCACAAGUGCUUGGAGUUGGCUUGAGAAAGCUCGGUGUGAGUGUUGGCCUUUUAUAACCUGUGUUUCACCAACUCUCAUCCAUUGGUAGUCUUUGAAUUAUCAGUUGGCGUCAAAGUUUGUGUGCGUGAGUUUUUUUCCUGGUGGGGUUGAUUUUCAGACAUGUAUGCAUGCGUUAAUGUAUUUGUGUUGUUUUCUGUUCUUCACCUACCCAUAGGAAGGAGAAAGCAUUCAAUCCGGUCACAUUUGUUAUAUAUAGAGAUAAAGACUUUUCCAGCCUCCUGGAAAUUAAUGCAUUGUUCAUUUGACUUUUCCAUGUGUGGGAAGCUGCUACCAACUUUCUUAUUGAAGAAUUCAUCAAAGUCAUUCAAAUUUGGAUUUCUAAAUUUGAAAUAACCUCAACAACCCAAUAAUUAAUGCAUUAUUUUUCUUUUGCAGGAUUACAUCACAUGUUAUUUAACUUAUUCAAUAAGUAAUUCAACAAAUAUCUCAUUUUUAUUUAACCUAUUUCGUCAUCUAACUUGCUAAGAACUCGUUUGAUUCUCUCUCUCUCACACAUUGAAGAAUUCAUCAAAGUCAUUUAAAUUUGGAUUUCUAAAUUUGAAAUAACUUCAACAACCCAAUACCUAAUGCAUUAUUUUUCUUUUUCAGGAUUACAUCACAUUUCAUUUUACUUAUUCAAAAGUAAUUCAACAAAUAUCUCAUUUUUAUUUAACCUAUUUUGUCAUUUAGUGAUUGACUUUUCAAUUGACACCAACCUUUAAUGCUCCUUCAAUAAAACUCUUUAAUUACUAUGUUGCCCUUUUGAGUUUCCAUCAUUCUUUCAGUUGACAACAAUUCAUUCCCCAUAUAUAGGCUAUUUUUGUAAAAUGUUUCUUUCCAAAAAGGCACUAUAAAGUCCUUAUAAAACAUUAAAUUCCUUUUAUCUAUACAAUAUAUAAAAUUACAAUGUGUCUUUUUUUCAAAAAUAACUUUAUUAUUUCGAUUUUAUGCGCUUAUAUCAUAUCUUUAUUAUAUGUAAUUAAUUCAAAUAAUGUUUAUUUUUUCUAAGGACAAUUUACUCUUUAUAAAAAUUAUUAUAAUGUAAUUAAAAUAAUUUUAAUACGUUCAUAAAAGAUUUGGAUAAAAAAAAAAUCCUCUUUUAAAAAAAUGAUAAUAAUUUAGGUUUUUAAUACAAAGUGUUUCGACAUUUUUUUCCCAAAAAUAGUCUUAUCAUUUCUAUUAUAUGCGCUUAUAUCCUAUCAUUAUUAUUAUAUGUAAUUAAUUCAUAUAAUGUUUAUUUUUCAAAGGACAACCUACUCUUUUUAAAAAUUAUUAUAAUGAAAUUAAAAUAAUUUUAAUAUCUUCAUAAAAAAAAACUUAAAUUAGAUAAAGAUCCUCUUUAAAAAUUUUAAAAUGAUGAUAAUUUAAGUUUUUAUUAUUAAUUUAUUGAAUUAAAAAAAUUAGAUAAAAUUAAAGUUACAUAAAUACAAAAUAAUAUUUUUUUAGAAUCCGAAUUACAUAUUUUUUUUCUAUUACAAAUGCUUAUAUCCUAUCAUUAUUAGAUGUAAUUAGUAAUUCAAAUAAUGUUUUUUUCAAGGACAACCUACAUUUUAGAAAAAUUAUCAUAAUCUGUAUAUAUUAUAUAUAAAAGUACAAAGUAUUUGUAGUCUUAUCAUUUCUAUUAUAUAUGUUUACAUCCUAUUAUUAUUAUUAUAUCUAAUUAAUUAAGAUAAUAUUUGUUUUCUUCAAGGACAACCUACUCUUUAAAAAAAUUAUAAUAAUUUAAUUAACAAUAAUUUUCAUAUCUUGAUAAAAAAAAGAAGGGGGACUAGAUAAGGGUCCUCCAUAAAUAUAUAUAUAUAUAAUAAUUUAAGUUUUUAUUCUUAAUUUAUCUAUACUACAUUUAAAAGACUGAAGUGUUUGUCGAGUUUUUUUUCCUUGGCCUUAUCAUCUCACUUAUAUACAGUUAUAUUCAUCAUUAUUUUAUUUAAUUAAUUGAGAUAAUGUUUUUGGACAACCUAUAAAUUAAUUUAGAUAAUAUUUUUCUUUCAAAAAAAUAAUUAUAUAUGUUUUUUAAAAAAAAAUAAAAAACUAAUUUAGAUAAUGAUUCUCUUUAUAAAAAAAAUUAUCAUAAACUAAGUUUCCAUUCAUAAUUUAUUCAAUAAAAAAGAAAUUUAGAUAAAAAAAAAAUCAAAUAAAUAUAAAAAAAAAUUGUUUUGAAUUAAUUUGUCUUUUUAAUCCAAAUUUUAAAUAGGAUUUAAUGGUUAUUUAAUUUUAAAAAUAUUAAUAUUUCAAGAUGAUAUAAUUUGUUCGCUAAAAAUUUAAUAAAUUGUUCAUGUAUCAUGUAUUUAUUAUUAUUUUGAUUCAAAGUAUUCAUUGUUAUAUCAAUUCAAAAUGAUUUUUUUUUAUGAAUAUUUAUUUAUCAAAAUAAAUAUUAAGAGUCAUUAUCUAUUUAUUUUAUAUUUUUCAUUAAAAAAAUAUUAUUAUUAAAAAAAAAAAGUUUUUUUCACAUCGUUUCAUUUCCUACAGUGACUUUUCAUACAUAAUCAUUCAUAUCCAUUAAUUUCCUUUAUAUAUGACUUUUCAUACAUAUCCAUUCAGUCUCUUUAUGUGCAUUUUUCACCCAUCCAAAAACUUUUCAGUUCGUACCAUUCAUUUCUCAUUCAAUUCAUUUUGUAUCUCCCAUUCAAAAGGAAAAAAAAAAAAAAACACUAAGGCAAGAUGAUCAAGACUCUAUUUUCAAGUAAAGGUACUUAUAGGCAUAAAGAUGAGACUAAUUGGAAAACAAAUGAAGCUAUAAAGAAGAUAAAGACGAUUUCUCAAGACAAGUUCAAUGAGCAUUUGAACUUGACACAUGUUUGUUCUCAUUAAUUGUAUAGUAGUGGCUUCCUACUCAUAAGGGUGCAAAGUUAGGUAUCAAGGAGAGAUAAAUAUACAUAUAGAUUGAGAGAAUUUGAGUCGAAGUAAAGAUUGUUGGUAAUUUUGAAUCAAAAUAUUUAUUGUUUAUUUUUAGGAAAGUCAAUAUUUGUAGAGUUUAUGGUUGAGUAAAUUACCUUUCUAAGUUUGACUAGGAUUUUAAAACUUAUCCUUUAGGGUUAGCAUAUAGGACUCUAUCCAUAUGUGACUUUACAUAGGAUUUCAUGAGAGAUCGAAAAAAAUGAAUGAAGAGUGAAGAGAAAUAAGAAAAUGGUGCAUUGGGUUUUGGGUAGAGAGAGGUUGAUACAGUUUGAGUCUAUAUUUUUUAAGUUUAUAUUUUUUAAGUUUUUUAAUAAAUUCAAUCUCCCUCUAUAAUAGACAUAGGUGAUUAUGUUGAACCAAAUAAAUUGUUUCUCUUCCCUAAUUUAUUUUAUUUUUCCAAUUGUAUUUAGGUGUUGUUAUUUUUUCAUUUUAAAGUUUAUUAUAAAAUUGAUCUCCUUCUAUUGCGAACAUAGGCAAUUAGGUCAAACCAUGUAAAUCUUUUAUCUUCUCUAAUUUAUUUUAUUUUUCCUAUUGUAUUUGAGUGUUGUGAUUUUCCUAACAACUUUGCCUAUCUUUCUUCACUUUUUGUUCUCUUUUUGACCUCUCUUUUGAAAUCCUAUGAAAAAAACCAUAUAUUAAUAAAGUCUUAUAGAUUAACCCUUAAUGAUAAGUUUUGGAAUCCUUGUCAAACUUAAAAAGCCAAUUUACUCAAACAUAAACUCUACAAAUAUUGACUUUCCUCAAAUUAAAAAAUAAAUAAUUUGAGUCAAAUUUACCAACAAUCUCCACCUUGACUCAAGUUCUCUCAUUCUACAUGUAAGGUUAUCUUUUUUUGAUACCCACCUUUACACCCCCCUAUGAAUAAAACUAUCAGCUUGAGAUGCAUUUAUUGUCAGUUCACCCAUUGUCCCAUCGUAUGAUUUUUGUGAGUUUCAGACCCAUUAGGUCCAAGGGCUUCCUCAUAGCCUAAAACCAAUUAUUCUAUUCUAUUUUGUUUGUGGGGCAAAAAUAAGUUUGCAUACUUAAUAAGCUUUGUGAUUCGUACAUAAAAAGGAUGGAUUUAACUAGCAUUCAAAUGGAAAUCAUUUUGAUAUUGAAUUGGUGUAAAAAUAUAUUCAUAAACACCGAGAAAAUGUGGCUUCCUUGUUCUAUUCCUUUCGUUUGACCUAAAUGAAGUUAGUAAAAUAAAAUAAACUAGAGAAGAAAAUAUUUACAUGGUUUGGCCUAAUUGCUUAUAUCCACUACACAGAGAGGCCAAAUUUAUUAAUAAACUUCAUAAAUACAAACUCCAACUCUCUCAACCUCCCUUUACUAUAAACCUAAUACACUCUUUGCCUAACUUUCUUAACUCUUUGUUAACUUUUUCACUCCCUCUUGAAAUCAUAUGCAAAACCACAUAUUUAUAGAGCUUUAUGGUUUAAACCUAAAUCAAUAGUUUCAUAAUCCUAGUCAAACUUAAAAAGGUGAUUUAUUAAAAUACAAACUCUAUAAAUAUUGUCUUUCCUAAAAAUAAAGAAUAAGUUAUUUGAGGUAACUUCCAAAAACCUCAAUAUUGACUCAAAUUCUUUCAAUCUUACAUAAUUAAUGAGAAUAAACAUGUAUCAAGUUCAAAUUUUCGUCAAACUAGACUCAAGAAACUAUUUUUCUCUUUUUUGAUAACUUUAUUCCUUUUGCAAUUAGUAUCAUUCUUAUGCUAAUGAGUACUCUUAUUUGAAAAUACAAUCUUGAUCAUCUUGUUCCACUUUUCUACUUUGACAACUUCUUUAACACUAGGAAAAUACUCUCUAUGGUGUGGCUUCACCCUCAUAGCUUCACCUAAAAUUGUCUUCUCAAUUAAGGUGUAUAAAUAUUUCACAUUUUUCUUUUGCACUGUUAGGAUUGAGUCUAAAAAAACAUGAUAUGAUAUAAUAGAUUGAGAUUCAUUUAUAAAUUUUUUAUCUAUGUUUCUUGGUUUUUCAUUUAUUAUCCUAUUUGCAUUAAUUAGUUACUAAUUUGAGUAUACACACCCACAUCACUUGUAUUGUACAUAGCUUGGGAGCAUUAGGAGUUACAUAGAAAAUCCAAGUCAUGGGUUCCUUACAAAGUGAUGAGCUGUCUAUAGUUGGUUAAUAGAUUUGGGCAAUCUAUUUGAGACUAUAUUGCACUACCUCCUAAUUGGGGGGAUGACUUGUUCUAGUCAUAGGGAUGGUUUUCCCAUGGUAAGUGUACUAUUAUAUGUAAUGCACACUGGACAAGACUUAUGGCGAAUCAUGAUGUAAGUCAUAGGUUCCUUGAAAAGUGAUGAGUUGUCUAUAGUUUUUUUAAUGGAUUUGGGCAAUCUAUUUGAAAUUGUAGUGCAUUAUCUCCUAAUUGGGGAGAUGACUUGUACUGGUCAUUGGGAUGGUUUUCCCAUGGCGAGUGCACUAUUGUAUGUGAUGUACAUUGGACAAGACUUAUGGUAAAUCAUGACGUAAGGCUAUUAGUUAUCAUGAUUCACUUGUUAGGAUUGAGCCUUUAAAAGCAAGAAAUAAUGUAACAAAGUAAGAUUUUACUAUCCCCGGGUUAUCCCUUUUAUGCAUUGACUUUGAUUUGAACAUUCAACUCAUAUCUUUUACAUUGUACAUGACUUAGGUGGAUUAGGAGUUGUAUAAAGGAUACAAGUCAUUAGAUUCAUGUAAAUAGAUAAGUUGUCCAUAGUCAAUUUAUGGAUUUUGGCAAUCCAAUAGAGAUUGUAGUGCAUUACCUCCUAAUUUGAGGGAUGGUUUAUCUUAACCAUCAAGACUAAUUUCCCAUAGUGAGUGCACUAGUGUAUACUGGACAAGACAUAUGAUGAAUCAUGACAUAAGACUAUCAAUUGUCAUGAUUUAUGAAGCUACUAUAUUGUGUAGGCUCUCAACCUUGAGAGGAUAUCGAACCUAUGUCAAAAUCAACAAGAGGCUUUAAUUUAUGAGUGAGAUCCUAAAGUAGUCAUAUAUCCUUAUAGAUUGAGUUAUUCUUGAUGGAGGCUAGUGGUAAUAGGUAUUUUCAAUAAAUGUAUCAUGAUAUCUCAUGAAAUUGACGUAGUAUGUCCCCUUAGAUGGUCCAAAGGACAUGUGAUCAUGAAAUCUAUAACGUCGUAGUAAUUCCUUAAGUGGAAUUUGAUAAAUGCUCUUUAUGGGUUAGAGUAUGUCAAUUGAUCAUAUAAUAAGCGAGGUUUGUGACUUAAGGAUUAUAGAGAUAAUCUUGAUAGGUGAUAGAACUACCUUAUUAGAUUACAUAUACUAAUUCAUGAGGAGUCAACAUGCUGUGGAUAAUAGGUCAUGGACCCAAGCUUCGUGUCAUUGUUAUUUACAUAAGGUACUAGAAUAUAGUUAAUUCUCUUUAGUGGAAUGUUGAAUCAACUUCAAAAUUAGAUUUUGAGGAAGCCAAUACUCCUAUGGAUCCCAAUGGUCCCCAAACUGAGCUCAUAUAUCAUGAUGACACAAUUUAUGAAGGUUGGAGCUCUAAGUUCACUCUUAUACAUAGGAGUGUUUUAGUAAUUAUGCAAGGUAACACAAAGGAUAGUGAAAAAGGUCUCUAGAUUGGUCUAAUAGAUUAAUUAGAAAUCCCUAUGUGGUUAGUUGAUAAAUUAGGACUUGUUUUGGAUUAGAUUAAGUGACUCAAGCCUCGAUGGGCACAAGUCACUUAAGCCUAGUGAGUAACCCAAUAAAUACCUUUUUAGGGAUUAUAGUUUCCUAAUGACUUUCAAUUAGUCAUUUUCCACCUCCAAAGAGAGAGAGAGAGAGAUGGUUAAAGCUUUUUCUUUUCCAUUGCCCAUACUUUGGAGUGCCAAAAUCAUGGUUUGAGUCAUCAAGUAGAAGAUCUUAGGUGUACAAGACCUUUAGACUUCUUCUUAUCAACAUGGAAUUGAUCUGGGAACAUCUAAACUAGGGUAUGAGUUUUUCUUCUCUAGAUCUUUAUCUUAAUAUGGUUUUUGUAGCCAUAUGUUUCCCUUUUGGUAGAUUUAGAGAAGCCCUAGGAUAAUUUACAUGCACAUUACGAUAUUCAAGUUUAGGGAAUGGAGAAAUCCAGAUUUCCCAACAUCAUUAAACUACUAUACUACAUGGACUUUCAACCUUGAGAGCAUAUUGAGUUCGUGUUAAAGUCAAUAAAAGGCUUUGAUCUUUGACUGAGACCUUGAGGUGGUCACAUGUCUCUAUGAAUCGAGUCACUAUUGAUGGAGGUUGGUAGCAACAGGUAUUGUAAAUAAAGACACUGUGAUAUCUUAUAGGUUUGAGACAUCGUGUCCCUUUGGGUAAACCAAAGAACAUGUGAUCUAGAAGACUAUGACCAUAGUAUUUCUUUUAAUGGAAAUUUAACAUAUGCCCAUUAGAGCUAGAGUACGUCAAUUGAUCAUAUAAUGAAUGAGAUCUAUAACUCAAAUAUUAGAGAGGUGAUCUUGUUAGGUGAUAACACUACCUUGUUAUAUUAUAAACACCAAUUCAUAGAGAGUCUACAUGUAGUGGAUAAUAAGUGAUAGACCCAAGCUUUGUCUCAUUAUUAUUUACAUAGGGUAUUGAAGUGCAGCUGAUUCUUUGUAAUAGGAUGCUGAAUCAACUUCAUAAUUUGAUUUUAAAGGAGCAAGGACUCUUAUGGGUCCUAGUGAUCCCCACUCUAAGCUCAUAUACCAUGAUGACAUGAUUUAUGAGAGUUGGAUUGAUUAUAGGUUCACUCUUAUGUAUAAGUGACCUGAGCUUAUAUGGUUUAACUCACUUAAGUUUAGUAGGGAAACCAUAUAAAUAUCCCCUUAGGGGUUAAGGUUUCAUAAUCACUUUUCAAAAAGUCAUCUUUCAUUUUUAGAGAAAGAAAGAGAGGUACGAGACCUUCAAAGUUUUCAAAGUUUUCAGAAAGUCUCAUGAUAAAGAGUUUAUUUUAAUAAAGGUUACCAAAAUUGAGAUAGAACCUAGGAUGGCGUUGUAAUGAUGGGAGUGUAAACUGAGUAAAACCUAGCAUGGUGUCACAAUGACAAGCGUCCAAAGAAACUAAGGAUAAACUAAGAUAAAAACUAGGAUGAUGUUGAAAUGACAAGAGUCCAAAGUAGCUAAGAAUAAGCUAGCUUAGAUAGAUCUUAGGAUAACGUUGUAAUGAUGAGAAUUCAAAGGAACUAAGGAUAAACUGAGAUAAAACCGAGGAUGACAUCGUAAUCAUGGGAGUCCAAAGGAGCUAAGCAUACACUUAGAUAGAACCUAGGAUGGCAUUGCAAUGAUGAGUUCAAAGGAACUAUGGAUAAACUGAGAUAGAACCUAUGAUGAUCUCGCAAUGAUGAGAAUCCAAGGGAACCAAGGAAAAAUCGAGAUAGAUCAACCUAGGAUGAUGUCACAAUGAUAGGAGUCCAAAUGAAUUGAGAUAGAGUCUAGGAUGACGUGGAAAUGAUGGGAGUCCAAAGGAGCUAAGAAUAAACUUAGAUAGAACUAGGAUGAAGUCAUAAUGAUGGGCAUCCAAAGGAACGAACCAUAAAUUGAGAUAAAGCCUAGGAUGACAUCAUAAAUAGAACAUAAAAUGGUGUCACAAUGAGAGGAAUACAAAGGAAAUAAGGAUAAAUUGAGAUAAAACCUAAGAUAACAUCAUAAUAAUAAGAGUCUAAAGGAACUAAGCAUAAAUAAAGAUAGAACAUAGGAUGGUGUCACAAUGAUGGGAAUCCAAAGGAGCUAAGUAAAAACUUAGAUAGAACUUAGGAUGACGUUGCAAUGACAAGAAUCCAAAGGAACUAAGGAUAAACUAAGAAAGAACCUAGGAUUGUGUCACAAUGACAAGAGUCCAAAGGAGCUAAGAAUAAAAUUAGGUAGAACCUACGUAAUGACGAGAGUGAAAAGGAAUUAAGGAUAAACUAAUAUAGAACCUAGGAUCGUGUCGCAACGACAAGAAUCCAAGGGAACCAAGGAUAAACUGACAUAGAAUCUAGAAUGGUAUCGUAAUGAAGAAGGCCAAAGGAACUAAGGAGAAAUUGAGAUAGAACUUAGAAUGACAUCACAAUGAUUGGAAUCUAAGGAAACUAAAGAUAAAUAGGGAUUGAAUAUAUUUUAACAUUGUUAAAGCAUUUUACUGUCAUUUUUAAACAUAAUUAUGAAAAAAAAACUUUUUUAAAAAAAAGUUCAUUAAAAGAAAAAUGUUAAUUUCACUAACAUUUAUCUAAUUAUUGAUGUCAAAAAUCAUAUGAAUAUAUGAGAUAAAUGAUAAAUAAAAAAAAGAGUAAUAAUAGUAAAUGUAAUUACUGGUAUUACUCAAAUUUAUGAUUAAAAGUUUUGCGGAUUAUAAAAUUUUUACAACUUUUUUAAAACAUUUAUUUAGUAAAUCUAAGAGUAAAUUUAUUGGAAGCUCUAAAAUUCAAUUCACUAUUUUGUCAAAAAUCUAGGUCUAAUUUACAGUCACAAAAUUAUCCUAAAGUCUCACCUGCAGCCAUAGCCCUACCACAGGUAAGCUUUUUUUUUUUAUAAAAAAAAAAAAAUUAACUCCUCCUCAUUCCAAAUAAAAUAAAUCUUUAAUGAUAUUCACAGGCCCCUCAAGGGUACAGCAGGAGCCGGCAUGAACCAAAUUCCACGUCCACCUUAUUCUUCUAAUCCAAGCCAACCAAUCAAGUCCAGCCAUGUUAUCCACCCACCAAGCUUCACACUUGGCAACUCUUACAUGGGCCCACUUCUCAAGCGUGUCUAUCAUCUGUACCUUACACGUUAUCUUUGCUGAGAUGGCAGACGACGUGAUCUUCGCAUAUUAUAAUAAUGGCGGAUUGUGGAUGGCGGCGGAGACUUGUUCAAUGAUCUCAUGCUGAUUUUGAAUGCUCUUUUUGGUGGAGGGUGAAAGUAACAAAUUCAGCACCAGCCGCCAGCUGCAAGCCCGAUCGUCCAUUUCGUCUUUUAAGGAAAUUAAUUCAUCAACUUUAAGAAUUUUUGUGUAGAUUUUAAACUCAUGAGAAGGACACAUUUCUGUAAUUACAGCAAUGUCUUUAGCGGAAGUUUAGAUAAAAUUAUGUUUGUAGUCUUAAUUAUAAAGCAAAAUUGAUUUUUUUUUAAAUCAAGAAGUUGUCGGAUUUUUGUAUUCUGAAAUUUGUUUGUUUAUUUGUUUUAUUUUUUAAAAAAAAUUAUCGGAUUUUCGUAUAAUGAGUAUAGAAUUAGUCUUGCAUAUGUCUCAGUCUAAUAGGACUUAUGAAAAGUAAUAUUUUUCUUACAGCAUUUUUAGGUAAGGGUGAUAGUGCAGCUGUAGACGUCACCCAUGUUGUGGUGGUGGCCAUUUUACAUAUAUGAACUGUAGAGUACCCCACCUGAAUUCCACUCAUUUUACAUAUUUUUCAAAUCAGCAGCAUAUGUUGAAAAUUUUUUUGUAUGCUUAACAAAAACUCAUAUAUAUUCUUCCUUCAUUUUGAUAACAUACACAAGAAUAAACAAUGAUUUUAACUUGAGGUCUUUGAGGAGGUCCUCCAACAAUCGUAAAAUAACAAUUCAAUAUCUUUACUACCUUUUAUUUGAUUAAUAAAACAUGACUCAUGAAUAACUUUUCCCAUCAUUUCACCUAGUUUGAAUCUGUACCAACGCUAUGGAUCACAACGGUCUCAAUGGUUAGGCCUGGCCCAAAGCCAAACAAGACACCCCAAUCCAAUCCUUCACCUGUCGUCAUUUUGCCUUCCUUGAGCGAUUUCUUUCUCAUCUCGUCCAAAAUAAAUAGGACACAUGCACUUGACAUGUUCCCAUAUUCACUUAGAAUAUGCCUUGUUGCUUUGAGUUUUUGUUUAUCUAAACCGAGUUUUGCUUCAACUGCGUCAAGAAUAGCUGGGCCACCUGGAUGAGCAAUCCAAAAUAAGGAAUUCCAAUCACUAAUACCAAUUGGGUCAAAAGCCUUAGUCAAACAAUUCUCAAUGUUUUCAGAUAUCAAGGUAGGCACAUUAGGCCACAAAUGAAAGGUGAGACCCACUUCACGUAAGUUGCCUGCAAUAGCACCUGCUGAAUUAGGAAUAAAUGUUUGGGCUGCUGAAACAAGUUGAAAGAGUGGCCGUUCAAUCGAGGUAUCUGGAUCUGAUCCAAUGAUUACAGCUGCAGACCCAUCACCGAAAAGGGCUUGGCCAACCAAAGAGUCCAAAGCAUCUUCGGAAGGACCACGAAAUGUAACAACAGUGAUCUCAGAGCACACCACAAGAACUCGUGCUCCUGCAUUAUUCUCUGCAAGAUCUUUAGCGGUUCGAAGGACAGUUCCACCUGCAUAACACCCUUGAUGGUACAACAUCACUCUUCUAACAGAUGGUUCGAGGCCUAAAAGAUUAGCGAGUUUAUAAUCUACACCAGGCAUUUCUACACCUGAGGUGGUACAAAAUACAAGGUGGGUGAUCUUCGAUUUAGGUUGACCCCACUCUUUAAGAGCCUUCAAUGCUGCUUCCUUACCAAGCUUGGGUACCUCAGUAGUGAUAAUCUCUUGGCGUAUGUUAAGAGAUGGAGCCAUAUAAGCACCAAUGUUUGGGUGCUCCUCAAGCAUUUCUUCGGUCAAAUGAAUGUAACGCUUCUUGAUCAUGGAUUUGUCACCUGUAUAUAAAUUAAAUAACAGUAAUAUGUAAGCUCAAGGCACACUAGUGAAACAAAAUCAAUUCAAUGGGUAGAUUGAUUGUUCAAGAUGAUCAAACAUUGUUCAAGUGAAUGUAAAAAGAUUCAUCCUAAUACAAUAUAAAAGCUUAUUUUUUAUUACAUCAAUUAAUAACGUGAUCCCAAGCGUUAUACCAUGUGAUUCAAAGAGCACCUGCUCAUACCAUCACUCACAGAUGCAUUGUAUUAAUUUAAAAUGAGUACACAGAAAGCUUGAAAAAGAUGUUUCAGUGGUCGUAGGUGAAUCAUAUGUAUACACAAUUAUAUGUAUAUGAAGGAUGUUAAAAUUAUACUUACAAAUGCGGUUGAACUUCUUCUUGAGCUCGGUCAUGUGCUCGCUUUUAGUGACCCGAAAAUAGUAAUCAGCGAAAUCAGACUGGUACAGACAGUUGUCCGGGGUAGCUGUGCCAAUGGCUAGAACGGUGGCCGGACCCUUGGCACGCUGGGCAUUUCUAAUUUCCUCCACAGACGCCAUGGAUAGUGUGUGAUGACUACUGAAAUGGAAGCUUCAAAGUUGAAGAAGGGAAGAGAAAUGAAAUUUUAGGAGCACAAGUGCUUGGAGCUGUCUGGCCAAAGUUGUGUCUUGAGGUUGGUAUUUAUAAUCACCACAAAUGCUGUCUCACCAACUCUCAUCCACUUCCAUGUAGGUAGGCGUGCAUUUGAAUAAUCCAGUGCCAUGGGGUUUGAUUUCCAACUUGGUAGGCUUCGGUUUUCAUUCUUUAUUUUAUUUUUCUGUCUUUCUUCUUCCUCUAAAACUCUUUUGGUCUUUUUAACCCACGUAAGGCGGUUGGAAGCUUACCCUUUUUGACUCCAAGUUGGUAGCAUCACUUUCAUAUCCCCCGAGUACUAUUUGACAAAAGACCCAAAAUUUUCACGUGCUGGGCCAGCUGCUGCCGGCUGGACCAAGCAUAAAUAUAGAUGUUGAACAAAUAAAUUUAUUGUUUAACAACAAUGAAGGUAAAAAUUAGUUACUAUUAACGAACAUAAAUAUUCGUUAAUUAAUGAGGAUAUCUGUUAUCAAAAUUAUUUUUAAAAGUUUUUAUAUUUGAUAUUAUUUAGUUUUUAAAAAAAAAAAAAAAAAUUCCUUAAUUUUGAAGGCAGAAGCUCACCCAUUUUGACUCCAAGCUGGUAGGGUCAUUUUCAUAUUCCCAAGUACAAUAAUAUUUGACCAUUGAGCUGGAAUUCUUUACUUGAUCUUCCACAUCAUGUUGGACCAAGCUAAUUAUCGGUAUUAAUACAGAAAUUUAGGAAAUAUGUAAUCUGGCAGAUUAUACAUUCAAGUCCUAAAUUAAUAUAUACCUUUUUGUCAAAGUUAUUUACAUCAGAACUUCUUCGAAAAAAGUUGAUAUCGAAUAUCACUUGAGAGAGAAAUAUGAUUGAUAAAAAAUAACACUUUCUAACUAACCUUCUAAAUUUUGAAUGAAAGUUGUUUUAGUGUAUUGGAAUUUGUUUAAAAAAAUAAAUAUUUAAUAUAUAUAUAUAUAUAUAUAUAUAUAAUCAAUGAACUCAAUAAACUUUUUGGUUUGACUUUCCAAUUUUUUCAACAAAAUGACAUAUUUUUUCAACAAAACGACAAAUAUAAGAAAAUCAAGAAUAAAAACGCAAGCAAGGAGGAAUAAUUUACGAAGUAUCUAAAAUUCAAUCCUCUAUCUAUUAUAGAGAAAACAAAGAGCGGAAAAGUAAUCCAAAAUGUAUCAAAGAUACUCCCUCUUUCUUUCCAUUAAAAGUGUAGUAACCAAUGUCUCAUAUGAUUUUGGUAGGGAUGCCAAUAAAAUAGUAGUUUCAUCUUCCUCAUCAAUGUUGACCUUUACGCUCAAUAAAUAGGUUAUACACUUAUUAAAUUUAUUUAUAUGAACAUCAAUUCCUUCAUUUAUCUUCAAACUCAUAUAAUUGUUAACUACAAAAAAAUUGAGUUUUGCCAACCCACUUAAGUUUACUUUUGUAAUGGAUUUAAGUUGUCAUAAAUUUCUAAGACACCUACUCAAUCCAUUGCAAAUUGCAUUACUCAUCGCAUAUAUAUGUAAUUUUUUUAUCAACAGUAAUUGCAAGUUGUUGAGUUAAAGACUGAUUAUGUAAGGACCUGUAUGGGAAAUGAUUGUGAUAUUUCAUAUUAGAUAGGAGAAAAAGUUUUCAGUAUUAUAUAUGUAUGAGUUCCUUUUAAUUUUGUGAAUACCUUUUAAAACUUGAGGCAUUUUAGGCUCAGAGUGAGCAAUAUCUUUAUUAUUAGGAACAUGUUGUUACAUAUUACUUGAAUUUUACAUUAAUCAUAAGGUUAUUUAAUAAUGUUAAAUUAAAAUUUAACUUUAAUAACUUCAAUAAAAAAUAAUUAAUUUUAUGACUUGAAUAUAUAAUCAACCUCAUCAUAGAUAUCAUAAAAUUCUGUAUUAAUAUCGAAUGGUUUGCUUGGCCCAGCACGUGAAAGACACUGGGUCUUUGACCUUGUAAGUCAAGAAUCCCAACUCAAUGGUCAAACAUUAUGGUACAUGGGGGGAUAUGAAAGUGGUCCUACCAGUGUGGAGAUAAAAAGGGUAAGCUUCUGGCUACAAGAUGUUUUUAUUUUUAUUUGUUUAUUUAUUUUAACAAAUAUAGCAAAUUUUAAAAAUAAUUUUCUAUUUUUAUGGAUAUUCUGCCGGUGGUGGUAGUUACCCAGGUUGCUGAGGUUGCUUCAAAUUACUCACAACUUUUAUCGCUCUUAUUUUCAAACAUAUAUAGAGAAAGCCAAAUAAACGUAAUCCAAUUGAAUACUUUCUCAGUUCCUACUUCCAGCGGAGGCAUAUAAGAACAACAGGUAUAGGGGAAGAAGAAAGACAAAAGCAAAAAUAAAUUAAUGAAUGAAAACGGCAGCCUACCAACUUGGACAUCAGAUCAUAUUUCACUGGAUUAUUCAAAUGCACAUCUACCCACAUACAAGUCCCCAUUCAUAUAUCAUCAAAUAUAAGCAAAGGAGAAACCAAUUCAAUGACAACUAGAGCUAUAAAAUCCAAUAUUUCUUUUAUUUACUUUUCAAUAAUGUUCAUAUGAACACAACAUUACAAUGUUUGAGGAAUCUUCAAGAUAAUAAAACAGUCUGAACUUGAAACUCAACCGUUUAAUUUGAGCUCACCAAGAGGGUCUAACAAUCACUAGAUUACAAUCUAAAUUUAGAGAAAAUAAUAAAAUAGUAUAAGAGUAUAAUUAGUUUAGGAGAUAAAUAACUUACUCCUAGUUGACAUAAUAGGACAUUGAAGGACCAUUCUCUUUUCCUUCACUUAAUUUGUAACCAUAGGAAUGCUAUGCAACACAACAGUUUCAAUAGUCAAGCCUGGUCCAAAACCGAAUAAUACUCCCCAAUCCAAUCCUUCACCUGUGGUGGCCUUCUCCCCCUUAUGGGAUUUCUUUCUCAUCUCAUCCAAAAUAAACAACACACAUGCACUUGACAUGUUUCCAUACUCACUUAGCACAUGCCUCGUUGCUUCAAGUUUCUUUUUAUCUAAAUUGAGUUUUGCUUCAACUGCAUCAAGAAUUGCAGGGCCACCUGGGUGAGCAAUCCAAAAUAACGAGUUCCAAUCGCUAAUACCAAGUGGGUCAAAAGCCUGAGUCAAACAUUUCUCUACGUUCUCAGAAAUUAAAGUGGGCACAUUGGGCCACAAAUGAAAGGUGAGUCCCACCUCACGUAAGUUUCCUGCAAUUGCACCUGCAGAAUUAGGAAUAAAUGUUUGGGCUGCUGAGACAAGCUGGAAGAGUGGUCGUUCAAUUGAGACAUCUGGAUCUGAUCCUACAAUUACAGCUGCAGACCCAUCACCAAAAAGGGCUUGGCCAACUAAAGAGUCCAAAGCAUCUUCGGAAGGGCCACGAAAUGUAACAACUGUGAUCUCAGAGCACACCACAAGAACUCUUGCUCCUGCAUUAUUCUCUGCAAGAUCCUUAGCUGUUCUAAGGACAGUUCCACCUGCAUAGCACCCUUGAUGGUACAACAUCACUCUUCUAACCGAUGUUUCGAGGCCUAAGAGAUUAGCGAGUUUAUAAUCUGCACCAGGCAUUUCUACACCCGAGGUGGUACAAAAUACAAGAUGGGUGAUCUUUGAUUUGGGUUGACCCCACUCCUUAAGAGCCUUCAAUGCUGCUUCCUUCCCAAGUUUGGGUACCUCAACAGUGAUAAUCUCUUGGCGUAUGUUAAGAGAUGGAGCCAUAUAAGCCCCAAUGUUUGGGUGCUCCUCAAGCAUUUCUUCCGUCAAAUGAAUAUAACGCUUCUUGAUCAUUGAUUUGUCACCUGUAAAUGAAAUAACAUGAACACAUUAGUUUUACCAAUCAACAAGUGAUAUAGAAUAUUGUUUAAGAUGAUCGACUUGCAUUUAACAGUGAAGCAAGUAUAAAAGGUUAUUCUUAAUUAUAGCUAGCAAUGCGAUAUAAUUAAUCAAAGAACAGCUCUUCAAGCCAUUACAGUCAGAUGAAAUGAAUAUUAAUUACUGAAGUAAAAUAAUUUUCAAGUUUUCUGUAGUAUUUUAUCUAAAAGCUAUAUUCUAGAAAGAUUGCAACAUUCAUUCCCUUGGAGGUGAGCCUCACCUAGUGUCAGUCACAUAUAUACAGAACUGUUAUGCAUGUAAGAAAUUAAUGCAUGAAUAUACUUACAUAUGCGAUUGAACUUCUUCUUCAACUCAGUCAUGUGCUCGCUCUUAGUGACCCUGAAAUAGUAAUCAGCAUAAUCAGACUGGUAGACACAGUGGUCGGGGGUAGCUGUGCCAAUGGCUAGGAUGGUGGCCGGACCCUUGGCACGUUGAGCAUUUCUGAUUUCCUCGACUGAAGCCAUUGAUGCCAGCUACGUACUCAAAUUGAAACUUGAGAUUAAGUUGAGGAAGGAAAGAGGAGUGCUUGGAGUCGGCUUGAGAAAGCUGGGUGCGAGUGUUGGGCUUUUAUAACCCGUGUCUCACCAACUCUCAUCCAUUGGCAGUCAAUGAUCAGUUGGCUUCAAAGUUGGUGUGCGUGAGUUUAUUUUUGGAUUCUCAGACACGUAUGCAUGUGUUAAUGCAUUUGUGUUGUUUUAUGUUCUUCACCUACCCAUAUAUGACGAGAGAGCAUUCAAUCGGGUUACGGCUUCUCAUUAUAACAUUUCUUUAUAUAUAGAGAUAAGGACUUGUCCAGCCUCUAACUGGAAAUCAAUCCCUUGUUCAUUUGACUUUUCCACUUGUGGGUGGCUGCUACCAACUUUCUUAUUGUUGAUGAUAUCAAAUUCAUUCAAAGUUGGAUUUCUAAAUUUGAAGUUAUAAUCUCAACAACUAAGAGACUAUUUUUCUUGUUCAGUAUUACAUCACAUGUCAUUUAACUUAUUCGAAAGGUAAUUCAACAAAUAUCUCAUUUUUAUUUUUUAAAUUGCUGGGCAUUCAACAAAGGUAAGACACUAUUUCGUGAUAUAAGUUGCUGGGCAUUCGUUUGAUUUUUUAAAUUCAUUUCAAGUUCAAAGAUUCCCUUUUUUAUUUUAAUUUUUUUUAACAUAAAUUUGAUUAAAAAUAUAUUCAUAUAUAGCAUUUUAGCAAUACUUCAUAGCAUUCCUAAUUAUAUUAAAGCAAUUUAAAGUAAAAUUCAUUCAAGGAAAACAAUAUAGCUAUUGAAAAUUAGACAAGUCCGUAAAACAUAUUUAAAUGUUAUAUGCAUUACUUCCCAAUAUAGCUAAGUGAUUAAUUGGAAGUAAUUUUGUUUUGAUCGCCACAUUCAAUCGUCACUUAGUCAUAUCAACUUAUGUACCAAUGAAGUCCUUAUAACCCAAUAAUAGAAAUUUGUUCUUCUUUAUUACUCUCUCUAUCUCUCUUUAAUUGGAGAAAUAGUGAUGUACCUCAUCUUAAAGCCGACUUAAUUUUAAAAAAGAGCACAGUAAUUAGUAAAAUUUUAUUAGUCCUAUAGACUAACCCUAAACAUUAAGUACCCUAAUGUUAAUUAAACUUAGAAAGGUAAUUUAUCCCAAUCCAAACUCAACAAGUAUUGAUCACUUUUGUAUAAAUAAAAAAUUGAAAAUCAGGGUCAAAAUUACCAACACAUAAGACCCAUUCUAUUGAUCACAAUUUUUUAUUUUUUAUUUUUUUAAAAAGAUCUUGAUUAAUGGAAAACUCAUAAUUUUAAAAAAUUUCCAAUAGGUGUUACAUGACCAAAAAAUUAUAGACUAAAAUAACUUUCAUUCCAAAUUUAAAAAUUUGGAAUCAUGAGCUUGGCCCAGCACGUGAAAGACAUUGGGUUUUUGUCAUUGCAAGUCAAGAAACCGAACUCAGUGGUCAACCAUUAUGGUACUUGGGGGAUAUGAAAGUGAUCCUAGCUACCAGCAUGGAGUCAAAAAGUGUGAGCUUCUGGCUUCAACAUGUUUCACCUACUUUGGUCCAAAAGGGCAAGCAUUCAACACCAUGCAAGUGGAUGAGAGUUGGUGGGACACAGCAUUUGUGGGUGAUUAUAAAUACCAACCUCAAGACACAACUUUGGCCAGCCACCUCUAAGCACCUGUGCUCCAAAGGUUUCACUUCUCUUUCCUUCUUCAACUUUUGAGUAGUCAUCACACCAUCAAUGGCGUCUGUGGACGAAAUUAGAAAUGCUCAGCGUGCCAAGGGUCCGGCCACCGUUCUAGCCAUUGGCACAGCUACACCGGACAACUGUCUGUAUCAGUCUGAUUUCGCUGAUUACUAUUUUCGGGUCACUAAGAGCGAGCACAUGACCGAGCUUAAGAAGAAGUUCAACCGCAUUUGUAAGUAUAAUUUUAACGUCCAUAACAUGCAUACAGUGAUGUAUACAUAUGAUAAUGCUUUUAUAUGGUACUCAGAUGAAUCUUUUUACACUCACUUUAACAAUGUUGAUCAUCUUGAACAACGAAUCUACAUAUUACUGAAUUAGUUUUGUUUUAAUUGCUAGUGUGCCUUGAGCUCAUAAAUUAGUAUCAUUCAAUUUAUACACAGGUGACAAAUCAAUGAUCAAGAAGCGUUAUAUUCAUUUGACGGAAGAAAUGCUUGAGGAGCACCCAAACAUUGGUGCUUAUAUGGCUCCAUCUCUUAACAUACGCCAAGAGAUUAUCACUACUGAGGUACCCAAGCUUGGUAAGGAAGCAGCAUUGAAGGCUCUAAAAGAGUGGGGUCAACCUAUAUCGAAGAUCACCCACCUUGUAUUUUGUACCACCUCGGGUGUAGAAAUGCCUGGUGCAGAUUAUAAACUUGCUAAUCUUUUAGGCCUCGAACCAUCCGUCAGAAGAGUGAUGUUGUACCAUCAAGGGUGCUAUGCAGGUGGAACUGUCCUUAGAACCGCUAAGGAUCUUGCGGAGAAUAAUGCAGGAGCACGAGUUCUUGUGGUAUGCUCUGAGAUCACUGUUGUUACAUUCCGUGGGCCUUCUGAAUCCGCUUUGGACUCUUUAGUUGGCCAAGCCCUUUUUGGUGAUGGGUCUGCAGCUAUGAUCAUUGGAUCAGAUCCAGAUAUCUCAAUUGAACGACCACUCUUUCAACUUGUCUCAGCUGCCCAAACAUUCAUCCCCAAUACCCAAGGUGCUAUUGCAGGCAACUUACGUGAAGUGGGUCUCACUUUUCAUUUAUGGCCUAAUGUGCCUACUUUAAUUUCUGAGAACAUAGAGAAAUGUUUGACUCAAGCUUUUGACCCACUUGGUAUUAGUGAUUGGAACUCGUUAUUUUGGAUUGCUCACCCAGGUGGCCCUGCAAUUCUUGACGCGGUUGAAGCAAAACUCAGUUUAGAUAAGCAAAAACUCAAUGCAACAAGGCAUAUUCUAAGUGAAUAUGGAAACAUGUCAAGUGCAUGUGUGUUGUUUAUCUUGGAUGAGAUGAGAAAGAAAUCGCUUAAGGAAGGAAAAACAACUACAGGCGAAGGAUUGGAUUGGGGUGUUUUGUUUGGCUUUGGACCAGGCCUAACCAUCGAGACUGUUGUGCUGCAUAGCAUUUGUAUGGAUUCAAACUAAGUCAAACAACAGAAAAAAUAAUUUGUGAGCCAUAGAAGAGAUGGUUUUAACUUCCUCAUAUACUUCAAGUUAAAACCAUGAGAGUCCAAGUUCCCACCAUUGUAGUACGCCGACCAUUCCUCAAAGUUUGUAGUCAUUGUUUAUUCUUAUGUAUGUUAUCAAAAUGUAAUAAAAAGAAGGAAUGGAUUUGAGCUUUGCUUAUGCAUGUAAUUAAGUACGAAAUUUUCAACAUAUGAAUUUUCCCAUACUGAUGUAGUUUGAGUUCUACUUGAACACCAACGUGUCUAAUUUUUUUUUAGAAAAUUAAGAUUAAAAGGAUGAACACUAACCUAAAAUUUGAAGAAUCCACCUUUCAUGACUCCUAUUAGACUAAAACAUAUACAAGACUAUUUCUAUAUUGAUAAAACUUUCUAUUAUUAUAAAUUUUUUUAUCAUAUUAUCAUAUUUGAAAAUGAGUUAUUCUUUCAUAAAACUAUCCUAUUAUUCUAUUAGCCUAAAGUUUUUUCAUAACAUAAAUUAAGUUAUAAACUGAGUUGUUCUUUCAUAACCAAUCUAACAAGUCAUUUGGAAAUAGUUUUAUUUUUUAUUUUAUUUAAAAAAGAAAUAAUGUUUUUAAACAUUUUAAAUAAAUUAAUAUGUUUAUUUGUGUAUUCUUAUCCUUUUCAUAUCCUCAAAAUAAUUUUUGAAAUAAAAAGUUGAUUAACAUAAUUGUUUUCCAAGAAUUAAAAAAAAAAUCUUUAUAAUAAGAAUAAAAACAUGAUUUCAUGUCAACUUAACUUUGAAAAAUCGUCUAUUAACAUAAUUGUUUUCCAAGAAUUCGGAAUUCAAGUUGAGUCUAGCUUCCUUAUUAAUUAAUCCUACAAAAUAUUUAAACAAUAAAAAAUGCUUUGGUCAACAAAAAAAAUAAAAAUAUGGGUCAAAUGAAACUUUAAUUAUUCAUCAUAUUGAGACCAACCAGUAUGAGAGAUUUAUCCCUUUUCUUGGCGACUUCGGACGAAGCAAACAUGUACCGAAUUUAGAAAAAAAUAAUGCCGCAAUUAUAGAAUGUUGUGUUAUUGUUGACUUCUCCUUCUCAUUAGUUUAAAAUAUAAUCUAAAAAUGACGAUCUGCUUGCUUGCAGUUGCAGGCCGAGGCUGAAUUCAUAUAAUCACCCCCUCCAUUGGAACCAAAAAGCAAAUUCAAAAGCCAUGGUCUCAUAAACUUCCACACACUUCUUUAGGAAGCCAGCUUCCUGCAGUAGUCCGCAUAAAAUUAUACCUCUCUUUUCUUUAUUGGGCUAUGUUUUGUCCAGCCCAUGAGCCCAUAUAUUAGACUAUUUUAUAUUUCGGUAUUCCUUAAACCCAAAUUUAGAUAUAUAAAUACCAUUAGAUCUUUGAUAUUACGAGUGAGAAUGGAGAUUUGAUUGAGAAAAGAAAAGAAAAUUAGGGUUGUUUUUUCGACACUGUUAUGGGGCUCAAGGUGAAGUUACAGGUUCUUUCAUUAACCUUUUGGAAAGUUCCUAUGGUAUGUUUUCUUCCUAAUUUUUUUUUUCAUGUUUCCUAGGGUGAUGGAUUCCCACCUCAAGCAUUGAGAUAUUUAUAUAAGCUUUCAAGGUGAAGAAACCUAAGAACUUAAUUAUUGUAUCCCUAUUUAUUGAAGUGGAAGAUAUUUUCUCCGUGGUUUUUUACCUCAAUUUGGAGGGGUUUUCCAUGUUGUAUUUGAUGUCCUCUUUUUGGUUGAAUAUUCUUGAUUAUCAUUUUUUAUUCUUGUUAGGUUGUUAUUAUUGUUGAGGGGUGGUUAUUAUUGUUGAGUGGUGGUUAUUAUUGUGGAAGAAUCUUUUAACCUUGAUAGGUGAAUACUCUAGAUCUCUUCUUUUAUCUUCCCAACAAGUGGUAUCAGAGCCUAGUUGUGGGAACGUUUAUUUUUGAAAAUUAUGGAGAUAGAAGGGAACUGAACCUACAUGAUAAAACUUAACAAUUCAAAUAGGGCUAUGUGGAAGUCCAUGAUGGAAUAUUUUCUCACCAUCAAAGAUUUGUUAGAUACUGUUAAGGGUGAAACAUCAAGACACAAAGAUAUUUCUGAUUUGGAAUGGAAAAAAAUGAAUAAAAAGGCAAUUACCUAUAUUAGGUAAUGGAUUGACACAUCCUCACGCAACCAUGUGGAAAAGGAAACAAAUGCCUAUAAUCUCUGGAAGAAAUUGAAAUUAGUGAACAUGAAGUUAAAGGAAGUAACAUUAAUGACAAGUCACUUGAAUUCUUUUCAGAGUAUUGUUAAUUAAUUGGUUGCUAUGAAAAUGGUUAUGGAUGAUGAGAUGCAAGCAUCUUUGUUGUUGUAUUCAUUUCUAGAUAGUUGGGAAACUUUUGUUGUGACUAUUAGCAACUCUGUUCCGAAUGGUGCAUUGUCUAUAGAGCUUGUGAAAGGAAAUUUGUUCAAUAAAGAGACAAGAAGGAAGGCUUAUGACAUAGAAAAGGCACAGGCCCUCGUCACAGGAAGUAGAGGAAGAAACAAGAAUAAAUGACAGAAAGGUCAUGACAAGUUUGAGGGAAGGUCCCAAUCCAGAGAUAAAAUCAAAUGUUUUCAUUGUGGAAAAGAGGGGCAUAUGAAAAGGAAUUGUCAAAUUUGGAAAAGGAAACAAAAUGAACAGAAUCAGGAAAAAGAUGACAAGAAUACCACAACCCCUAUAUCAAACAAUGAUGAAGUUUUAGUGCUCUCAAAUGAGUGUUUGCAUGUAGAUGAGAAAGGAGUUGAGUAGAUUGUAGACACUAUAGCCUUCUACCAUACUACUCCUCACUUGGAGUUGUUUUUUGAUUGUAGAGUUGAAGAGUUUGGCACAAUCAAGAUGGGAAACUCUAGUCACUCCAAGAUUGUAGGAAUGGGUGAUGUUUGCUUUGAAACCAAUAUGGGGCAUAAGUUGACAUUGAAAGAUGUAAGUCAUGUUCCAGAUUUACGCUUUAAUCUAAUGUCAAGUUUUGUCUUGGAAAAUCAAGGUUAUGAAAAUCACUUUGGCAAAGGCAAAUGGAAGCUCACUAAGGGCCCUUGGUUGUUGCAAAAAGAGAAACAUGUUGCACUUUGUACAAAACCUAAGGAAAAGUUUGUAAUGAUGAGUUAUAUGCUCUAGAGGCUACUUCCUUGAAGUUGUGGCAUAAAAGGUUCAUAUGAGUGAGAAAGGAUUGCAAGUUUUGGCAAGGAAGUUCUUAAUUCCUUUGGCCAAAAAAUGAAUCCUUGUCUUCUUGUGAUCAUUGUUUGGUUAGAAAACAACAUAGUGUUUCCUUUAGUAGCAUAUCUAAAAAGAAUUUAAAGAAGUUGGAGUUGGUAUACUCUGAUGUUAGUGGCCCCAUGGAAAUGGAAACUCUUAGAGGAAACAAACACUGUCAUUUUUAUUGAUGAUGCUACCAGGAAGGUAUGAAUUUAUUUGCUCAUAUCAAAUGAUUAAGUCUUUCAGUAUUUUCUAUAGUUUCAAGCCAUGGUUGAAAAAGCGACUAGAAGGAAAUUGAAGUGUAUCAGGAUUGAUAAUAGAAGUGAGUACACCUCAAGGGAGUUUGAAACUUACUGCACUAAGAAUGGUAUAAGUCAUGAAAAAACAAUUCCUCGCACUCCAUAGCAUAAUGGUGUGGCUGAAAGAAUGAAUCGCACCAUCAUUGAGAGGGUUAAGUGUAUGCUAAAGAUUAUAAAGUUGUCUAAGGCAUUUUGGGGUGAAGCUGCUCAAACUGCCUACUAUUUGAUAAAUAGAUCUCCAUCAAGUCCAUUGAACUUUGAGGUUCUAGAGAAGGCAUGGACAAGAAAAGAGGUUUUCUAUUCCCACUUAAGGGUCUCUCUGAAUGUAAAACUUUUGUGCAUGUUCCCAAAGAACAGAUAUCCAAACUUGAUGAUAAGGCAGUUCCACAUGUCUUUGUUAGGUAUGGUGAUGAAGAGUUUAGAUUCAAAUUGUAGGAUCCAACCAAGAAGAAAUUGGUGAGAAGUAGAGAUGUGGUCUUUUAAGAGAAUUGAACGUUGGGAGAUUUUGACAAAGCUAAUCAAUCUAAAGGUACAAGUGACGACUUCAUUCAGUUGGUACCUAUUCCUCUAUUAUUAAAGCAACCCAAAAAUGAACAAAAAAAAAAAGGAAAUUGAUGAGCUACCAAGAGACGAUAGUACUAGUGACAUACAUGCAUAGGAGCUAGUUGAGCAUGAUGAGUAGGAGGAACAGUCACUUCAUCAGGAGGAUUUGGUAACCUAGGCUAGAAGGUCUACUAAAGAGCAUCAUCCCUCUACUAGAUGUCCCUCUUCUGAGUACAUGUUAGUAAUUGAUGAGGGGAAGCCACAGAGUUUUCAAGAAGCUAUGCAAGAUGAGAUGGAUUCCUUGCAGAAAAAUGAAAACUAUGAGUUGGUACAACUUCCUAAAGGAAGAAAAUCAUUGAAAAACAAAUGGGUGUUCAAGUAGUUGAGGGAUAUGGUUGAAGAAAAUGUAGCUAAGUUGAAGAAGGUUCACAUAAACAAAAAUGCCUCAAACAUGUUGACAAAGUUUGUUCCCAAGCAAAAUCUUCAAUUGUACAUUGGGAUAGUAGGUUUGAGCUCCAUGUGAUGGAGUUAUAGAUUGACAUUCCUCCUCCAUGUGGUGGAGAGGGAGAUUGUUAAGCUAUGUUUGUCCAACCCAUGAGCCCAUAUAAUAGGCUAUUUUAUAUUUGGGUAUUCCCUGAGACCAAAUAUAGGUAUAUAAAUAGCAUUAGGUCUUUGGUAUUAUGAGUGAGAAGGGAGAUUUGAUUGAGAAAAAAAAAAAUAGGAUUGUUUUCUGGGCACUAUUCUAGGGCUCAAGGUGAAGUCACAAGUUCUUUCAUCAACCUUUUAGGCAAGUCUCUGUGGUAUGUUUUCUCCUUGAUUUCUUUUUGUUUAUAUUUCCUGGGGUGAUGGAUUCCCGCCUCAAGUAUUGAGAUAUUUUUAUAAGUUUUCAAGGUGAAAAAACCUAAGGACUUAAUAUUGUAUCCUCAUUUAUUGAAGUGGAAGAAAUUUUUUCCAUGGUUUUUUACCUCAAUUUGGAGGGUUUUUCAUAUUAUAUUUGGUGUCCUCUUUUUGGUUGAAUGUUCUUGCUUAUCAUUCUUGAUUCUUGUUAGGUUGUUAUUAUCGUUGAGGGGUGGUUAUUAUUAUUGAGUGGUGGUUAUUAUUGUGGAGAAAUCUUUUAACCUUGGCAAGAGAAUAUUCUAGAUCUCUCCUUUUAUCUUCCCAACAUUCUUUUAUCACUUUUAAUCUUGAAAUAUCUUAGUAUGUAGUCAUCAACGGAUUUGUGGAGGAGAUUAGAAUGGAUCAAUGUGCCACAAUGGAUAACACUAAUUACUAUUUUGGGGUCCUUAAGAGCAAGCAUAUGACUAAAUUAAAAAUGUCUUGAGUAUCUCAUCUUGUAUUUCGUAGAAUCUUGAUGAUGAAAUGCCUCAAACUAUCUACUAGAAUAGUGAUGUUGUAUUGUAUCAUCAAUGUUCUCAUGGAGCUGAAAUUGUCCUUUCACAUGGCUAAAGAUCUUUUAAAGAAUAAUGUAAGAGCAGGAAUGUACACAUGAGGCUUUCUUGAAGAAAAACUAGUGGUCAUAUUGAAAAUUUAUUGAUUUAGAUAAUAUUUAGGUUAUGAUCUCUAGUUGGUUAUCUGAUUCUUUUGAUCAUAAGAAAUUAACUUGACUUGGGUCUUAACUCAGUUUGGACCUUAAUGUGUCUUAGCCUAGGCUUAGACUUUAUCAAGUCUUAGGUAUGAGUUUUGAUUUUGGUGUGUCUUCAACUUGGGUUUGGACCUUGGUGUGUCUUAGGCAAUGCUUAGACCUUGGUUUCAUUGACAUUCAUAAAAGGCAUAAAUGUUUUAUCUUGGAUUAAGUAUGCCUCGAAUUUGAUCGUUGAAGCUCCAAACUUGAUCUUUGAAUCUACAAACCAACAAUUAAGAGUUUCGAACUUGGUUUUAAAAUCUUUGAAUUAAGGCUUUGAUAAACUUGUUAAGUCUUGAAGGGAAGCUUUCUCUAAUUCUUCUCAAGUGUGGAAGUCUUCCUAUUUUUCCAAUGUGAUUUUGAAAACUAAGGACAUAUUUAUUAGGAUUAUGAGAGACAUAUUUGCAUAGUUUUCCUUAUUCCUUGUAAAUAUUAUUCCUUAAUUAAAAUUAAUAUUUAGGAUGAUUUCGAGGUAUACUUAGACAGUUUUGACCCUUAAAAAAAAAUAUUAUGUUUAAUUAAAAACUAAUAUUUAGGAAACUUGGUAUAUUUCAUGAUGUCCUAUUUUCGUAGAGUUCUUUGGGAAGACUAGCCAACAAGUCUCAUCAUCCCCUUCACCUCCUUUGCAGAUCCAUGAGGACACUCUUUGUCACUCUAGAGUUCUUUUGAUUUAAUGACCUUCCAACUUCUUGUUUCCAUAAGGAGUGCAGGGAGGUAUAUUACUCAUGAUUCCGUGAGCAUUGAGUUGAGGUUAAGUAUGAGCUCUCCUUACCUUCCUUCUGAGACACUAAGGUCCCACAUAUUUUUGAGAGCAUAAAUGGGAUUCUCAAAAUCUCUUGAUGGGGGGCUGGCUAUUGCAAUUAUGUUUGGAUGUUCUAUGCUAAUAACCAUUUUAGCUCAUUAGACAUUUCUUUUAGAGUUAACAUAUAUGGGAUAACUAUCUUGGUUUCUGCUCAUUUUAUUCCACGAGCAUUAAGUCUUCAACCUUUCUUAGAGACGUUUCCACACUUCACUCCAAAUGGAUGUUUGAUCCUAUGGUUAGUCAUGGGAUCUUUCUUAUGUUUCCAUGUUUAUCAUUGCUAGUAAGCAUGGAUCUUCACCAUGUUUUUCAGUUACAACUUUUACCCUUUUCCAGUAUGACCCACUUACAAUGCGCCACUACAAAUCAAUCAUUAUGUUAUUUUUAGUCAUCACAUUGAUGUGGCUCAUUUUAUUAUGGACAUAUGGUAUCAUAUCGAGGGUCAUCUUGCUCAUGGAGUUUACCACUGGUAAUCACCAUCAGAAAUAUUUUGGUUGACGUCAGGUUUGAUUUUUACCAUAAUCUCUGGGUGUUAGAUUAGAGACCUUCCACAGAUGAAAGACUCGAGUCUAAGGACAUGAACCAUUAGGAAACUAUCAUUUUUCGAUAGCAGUUGAAAUUGGGUUGGUUGGGGCAGCCAUUGGUUGGUGAGGACUAUGGACUGUUGACCCCCUCUAACUUGACUUUGAAAGAGCUUCCUUAAUUAAAUAAUUAAUUUAAUAUUUAAAACUAUUUAAUUUCUUUGAACUCUUUCUAUGAUCUCUGGAAAUAAUAUUUUAUUUAAUUUUUUAUAUGUUGUAGCUGAUCAUUUCAAAUCAGUUUCCAAGAAUAUAUAUAUCUCUUUUGAUAAUAUAUUUUGGUGUUUUAGAAAAAUGUUAUGGUGAUAUAUUUUGCUGCUUUAGAAAAAUGUGGUAUGAAAUGGUCCAAGCAACAAGGAUAAACUUUUUAACCGAGUCGUCGCUCUUUAGCGGGAGUUGGUUUGUCAUACAAAUAAUGUAUACUCAAGCCUUCAAAUAUCAGCAAACGAGAAAGCAAUUCAAUACCAACUAGAGCUAUCAAAUCCAAUAUUUCUUUUAUUUACUUUUCAAUAAUAUCCAUGUGAACACAACACUACAAUGUUUGAGGAAUUUUCAAGAUAAUGAACGAGUGAGAUAUUGAAACUCAUCUUUUAAAUUUGGGCUCACGAAGAUAGGCUAAUAAUGACUCGAUUAGAAUCAAAAUUUGGCAAAAGCAAUGAAAUUCUAUAAGAGUAUUUAUUAUCAAUAUCAGAGAUAAAUACCUUUAUUGACUUCUAUUUGAUACAAUACAACAUUAAAGGUACCAUUCUCAUUCACUUAAUUUGUAACAGUAGGAAUGCUAUGCAACACAACAGUUUCAAUAGUUAAGCCCGACCCAAAACCAAAUAAUACUUCCCAAUCUAAUCCUUCACCAGUGGUGCCCUUUUCCCCCUUUAGGGAUUUCUUUCUCAUCUCAUCCAAAAUAAACAACAUACAUGCACUAGACAUAUUACCGUACUCACUUAACACGUGCCUUGUUGCUUUAAGUUUCUUUUUCUCUAAAUUGAGUUUUGCUUCAACUGCAUCAAGAAUUGUAAGGCCACCAAGAUGGGCAAUCCAAAAUAACGAGUUCCAAUCGCUAAUACCAAGUGGGUCAAAAGUCUGAGUUAAGCAUUUUUCUAUGUUCUCAUAAAUCAAAGUAGGCACAUUAGGCCACAAAUGAAAGGUGAGUCCAAUCUCAUGUAAGUUACCCGCAAUAGCACCUUGUGAAUUAGGAUUUAAAUGUUUGAGCUGCUGAGAUGAGUUGGAAGAGUGGUCAUUCAAUUGAGAUGUCUGGAUCUGAUCUAAUAAUCACAGUUGCAGACCCAUUACUGAAAAGGGCUUAGGCAACUAAAGAGUCCGAAGCGGUUUCAAAAGGCCCAUGGAAUGUAAUAACAAUGAUCUCAGAGCCCACCACAAGAACUCGUGCCUCUGUGUUAUUCUCUACAAGAUCUUUAGCAGUUCAAAGAACAGUCCCACCUGCAUAGUAGCCUUGAUGUUACAACAUAACUCUUCUAACUGAAGUAUCAAGACCCAAGAGAUUAGCAAGUUUGUAAUCAGCACCAGGCAUUUCUACACCUGAGGUUGUACAAAAUACAAGGUGGGUGAUCUUGGACUUUGGCUGACCCCAAUCUUUAAGUGCCUUCAAUGCUACUUCCUUACCAAGCUUGGGUACCUCAACAAUGAUGAUCUCCUGCCGUAUAUUAAGAGAUGGGGCCAUGUAGACACCAAUAUUGGGUGCUCUUCAAGCAUUUUUUCAGUCAAAUGAAUGUAGUGCUUCUUGAUUAUUGAUUUUUCACCUGUAAAUAAAAUAACAUGAACACAUUAGCUUUACCAAUCAAUAAGUCAUAUAGUAUAUUGCUCAAGAUGAUCAACAUGCAUUUAACAUUGAAACAAGCAUAAAAGGUUAUUCUUAAUUAUAUCAAAAAUUAUUAAUGUGUUUCUCAACAUUGCCACAUGAUUCAAAGAACAGCUCUUCAAGCCAUUAUAGUCAGAUGCACGGAAUAUUGGUGACUGGAGUAAAAUGAUUUUCAAGUUUCCCGAAGUAUUUUAUCUAAAAGUUAAACUAUUAAAACUUGAAACAUUCAUUUCACUUGGAGGUGAGCCUCACAUAAUAGCACACUCGUAUAUGUAUAGAAGAGUUAUGCAUGUAAGAAUUCAUGCCUGAAUAUAUAUAUACUUACAUAUGCGAUUGAACUUCUUCUUCAACUCAGUCAAUUGCUCGCUCUUAGUGACCCUGAAAUAGUAAUCAGCAUAAUCAGACUGGUAGACACAGUUUUCAGGAGUAGCUGUGCCAAUGGCUAGGAUGGUGGACGGACCCUUGGCACAUUGAGCGUUUCUGAUUUUCUCAACUGAAGCCAUUGAUGCAGAUUAAGUUGAGGAAGGAAAGAGAAGAGUGCUUGGAGCUGGGUUGAGAAAGUUGGGUGUGAGUGUUAGGUAUUUAUAAGCUGUGUCACACCAAACCUAAUCCAUUGGCAGUCAAUGAUCAAUUGGCUUCAAAGCUUGCGUGCGUGAGUUUAUUUUUGGAUUUUCAGACAUGUAUGCAUGUGUUAAUGUAUUUGUGUUGUUUUCUGUUCUUCAGCUACCCAUAUAUAAUGAAUGCAUCCAUAGGAAUUGAGAGAGGAUUCAAUCAGGGUUCCGGCUUCUCAUUGUAACAUUUUUUAUAUAUAGAGAUAAAGAGUUUUCCAGCCUCUCAAAUGGAAAUUAAUACAUUGUUCAUUUGACUUUUCCACGUGUGGGUAGCUGCUACCAGCUUUCUUAUGGUUGAUGAUAUCAAACUCAUUCAAAGUUGGAUUUCAAAAUUUGAAGUAAUAAUCUCCACAACCCAAUACCUAAUACACUAUCUUUCUUCUCCAGGAUAACAUCACAUGUCAUUUAACCUACUCACGAGUGUGUUUCUGCUGUACAAUUAAGAGAGUAAAAUGAGGUUAAAUCCAUUCUAUGUAAACUCAAAUUGGAUUGAGCUUUAGCAGAAGUUUUAGUGUAAAUAUAUUAAUAGAAGAAAAUAAAAUGAAGUGAUCCACAUACAAAGUUAUAUAAUGUUUUAUAAUGGUGGUUGGAUUAACAUGCACCAUGGAUGAGAAAUAAUAUUUCAUUAUAUGAUAUAAAAUAUUAUAAAGGAUAAAAAUAUAUACAAUUAUUGAAUAAUAAAAUAUUUUAUGUUUUUUUUCCUUGUAUCUUCACCUUGAACCAUGAACCGUUUUGUUCCACCGAGUGUCUUCCAGUCUUCCUUGCAUUUAUACCUUGAACUACAAGAAGUUUUGCUCUACUAGGUAUCUUUUACUCUUUCUCAUAUUUUUAUCCAUCACACAGUCUUCAUAAGCUCAUUUUUUAUUUUUAUUUUUGUAACAUUUCCCCCUCAUAAUCUAGAAUAUUUAUUAAGAUAUAGGAACUAGCAUUCUUUAUUCUAUGAAGCAUUUAAAUGCCAUCAUGCAUGAAUUUAGAAAAUAUUUUUUAUAAAAAGAAAUAUAUUCCAAUUAGGAAUUUGAGAUACUUCCCAACCUUAACAAGCUUUCAAAUACCAACAAAUGAGAAACCAACUCAAUACCCGCUAAAGCUAUCAAAUAAUCCAUUCUUUCUUUUAUUUACUUUUAAAUAAGAUUCAUAUGAACACAACAUUAAUAUAAUGUUUGAGGAAUCCUUAAGAUAAUGAAACAUUGAGAACUUCAAACUCAUCCUUUUAGUUUGAGCUCAUCACAAAGAAAGUUUAACAAUGACUUGAGGUAAUAAAAUACUAUAAGAGUAUUAUCAAUUUUGGAGAUAAAUACCAUUAUUAACUCCUAUUUGAUACAAUACAACAUUAAAGGGAGGAUGACCAUUCUCCUUUACUUCACUUAAUUUGUUACCAUUGGAAUGCUAUGUAGUACAACAGUUUCGAUGGUCAAGCCUGGCCCAAAACCGAAUAGUACCUCCCAAUCCAAUCCUUCACUUGUGGUGUCUUUUUCCCCUUUUAGGGAUUUCUUUCUCAUCUCAUCCAAAAUAAACAACACACUUGCACUAGACAUGUUACCAUACUCACUUAACACGUGCCUUGUUGCUUCAAGUUUCUUUUUCUCUAAAUUAAGUUUUGCUUCAACUGCAUCAAGAAUUGUAGGGCCACCAGGGUGAGUAAUCCAAAAUAACAAGUUCCAAUCGCUAAUACCAAGUGGGUCAAAAGCCUGACUCAAACAUUUCUCUAUGUUCUCGGAAAUCAAAAUAGGCACAUUAGGCCACAAGUGAAAGGUGAGUCCCACCUCACGUAAGUUACCUGCAAUAGCACCUGCUGAAUUAGGAAUAAACGCUUGGGCUUAUACUUGUUAAUCGCUUAUUGGGAUUUCUUUUUAUAGUUAGUAGGUCUUGUUGUUUACACUACCUCCAUGGCACGUUUCCAAUUGGGAUCUAAAAGAGCCUUUUUUAUAGUCAGUACGUUCCAAGACACCUUAUAGUGCUGGAUGCUUUUUCCCUAUUCGGUUUACCCUUUAGAAGAAGGUAGUGAGGUUUGGGUGAGUGAGGGUAGCAAGAACUGAUUGAAAAAUAUAUAUAUAUAUAUAUAUAUAUAUAUAUAUAUAAAAUUAAGGGAAGGGGAGGAUAAUAAUUAGUCUCAUUUAGCCAGCAAAAACUGAAUGAAGAAAAAUAAAAAUAUAAUAAUUUGUUUCAUUUAUGCUAGAAAGAUGAGGGAGAGAUAAUGCUAUGAAAAAAGAAAAGAUCAUAUCAGGGGGUUGGAGGGUUCAAAUCCAUACAACUCACUCUUGUGUGAUGAACAACAAAAUUUUGGAGAAAUUUUUACUAAUUGUGUGAUGAACAACAUGAUAAUUGUCUUGUCAUGCAUCUCAUCUUGCAAAUAAUUCCAAUAGGAAACUACCAUCCGUCGUCGGUAGCAUUGACAUUUGGUUGGUUGGGGCAGCAUUGGUUGGUGAGUUUUAAUUUCUUAAAACUGUUUCUAUAAUCCAUGUAAACGUAUUUUAUUUAGGUUAUGUGUAGUUUGUCAAAAGUUUGAGGUAGAACGUUAAGGAAAUAAAAUAAAGAGAAACGGUAUGAAGAAAAAAAUAAAAAUAAAUAAAUAAAUAAGUUUAAAAUUAAUAAAUAUUUUUAUCUAUUACUUUAAAUUUAUUUUUCUUAUUUUAACUCAAUAAAAAAUAUUAAAAUAUAUAAGUUUUUAAUUAAUUUAAUUAUAUUUUAUAUGGUAAAAUCAAAUUUGAGAAAAUUAUUUUUCUUAAUAGCUUUUUCUUUCCUUAAUACUUUCUCAAAUCCAAAUACAACUUUCAUUUUUUAAAAAAAAAACUCUAUAUUUUAAAUCAUUUCUAAUAAACAACAUAGAAAUUAAUGUAUUAGAAAUAUGUAUAUCCCUUUCCUAUUGCAUCUUGGUAAAAAUAUUCCAAUUUUGCUAUUUUAGCAUGCAUAUUUUGCUUCACUUCCUAUGGACAAAGUAUGAACAAUUUAUUGUAACUUCUCCAAAAAAAAUUUAUUAGGUAAAUGGACUUUGAAUAAAGUAAGAUUUAAUAUAUUAAUUAGAUUCAAUAUUGAGUCAAUUAAUAUCAUAUUUUCCUCUUUUUAACUUCAAAAACAUAAAAAAAUAAAAAUAAAAAUGGAAUAUAAAACAUACAUUGUAGCUGAUCUUUUCAAAACUGUUUCCAAAGAUAUAUUAUGAUAAUAUAUUUUGGGGUUUUAGAAAAAUGUUUUGGUGAUAUAUUUUGCUAUUCUAGAAAAAUGUGGAGUGAAAUCAUCCAUGCAAAGAGAAUGAACUUUGUAACUGAGCCACUGCUCUUCAGCAGGAGUGUGUUUCUGUUAUACAAUUAAUAGAGUAAAAUGAGGUUAAUUCCAUUCUCUGUGUACUCAAAUUGAAUUGAGCUUUAUAUGAUUUUACUGUGGGGCAAGCCAAAGUUUUAAUUUAAUGUAAACAUAUUACUAGAAGAAAAUAAAAUGAAGUCAUCCACAUAUUAAAUUAUAUGAUGUUUUAACGUGGUGGUUCAAUUAACCAUGCACACCUUCAUGGUUGAGAAAUAAUUUUUCAUUAUACAAUAUAAAUUAUUAUAGAGGAUAAAAACAUAAACAAUUCUUGGGUUAUGAAAUGUUCUAUGUUUUCUCAUUCCUUAUAUUCUCACCUUGAACCACAAAUCAUUUUAUUCCAUCAAGUGUCUUCCACUCUUCCUCACAUCCCUAAAUUGCGAGAAGUAUUACUCUACUGGGUAUCUCUCACUCUUUCUCACAUUUUUAUCUAUCACAUUUAAUCUUCACAAACUCAUCUUUUUUAUAACAUUUUCCCCUCAUGAUUUAGAAUAUUUAUUAAGAUAUUCCUACUAACAUUCCUUAUUCUACAAGGCAUCUAAAUAUAUCACAUAUGAAUUUAGAAAAUAUUUUAUAUAAUAUUUUUUAUAAAAAGAAAUAUUUUUCAAUUAAGAUCAAAUUUGAGACACUUCCCAACAUUUACAAGCUUUCAAAUACCAACAAAUGAGAAAUCAACUCAAUGCCAACUAAAGCUAUCAAAUAAACCAUUAUUUCUUUUAUUUGCUUUUAAAUAAGAUUCACAUGAACACAACAUCAAUACAAUGUUUGAGGAAUAUUUAAGAUAAUGAAACACUGAGAACUUCAAACUCAUCCUUUUAGUUUGAGCUCAUCACAAAGAAAGUCUAACAAUGACUCAAGUACAAAUCCAAAUUUAGCAAAGUAAUAAAAUACUAUAAGAGUAUUAUCAAUUUCGGAGAUAAAUACCUUUGCUAACUCCUAUUUGAUACAUUACGCCAUUGAAGGGUCAACCAUUCUCUUUUAUUUCUCUUAAUUUGUAACUGGAGGAACGCUAUGCAGCACAACAGUUUCGAUGGUCAAGCCCGGCCCAAAACCAAAUAAUACUCCCCAAUCCAAUCCUUCACCUGUGGUAGCCUUUUCCCCCUUCAAGGAUUUCUUUCUCAUCUCAUCCAGAAUAAACAACACACAUGCACUUGACAUGUUACCGUACUCACUUAACACAUGCCUAGUUGCUUCGAGUUUCUUUUUCUCUAAAUUGAGUUUUGCUUCAACUGCAUCGAGAAUUGCAGGGCCACCUGGGUGAGCAAUCCAAAAUAACGAGUUCCAAUCACUAAUACCAAGUGGGUCAAAAGCCUGGGUCAAGCAUUUCUCUAUGUUCUCAGAAAUCAAAGUAGGCACAUUGGGCCACAAAUGAAAGGUGAGCCCCACCUCACGUAAGUUUCCGGCAAUGGCUCCUGCUGAAUUAGGAAUAAAUGUUUGGGCUGCUGAAACAAGUUGGAAGAGUGGUCGUUCAAUCGAGACAUCUGGAUCUGAUCCAACAAUCACAGCAGAAGACCCAUCACCAAAAAGGGCUUGGCCAACUAAAGAGUCCAAAGCAUCUUCGGAAGGGCCACGGAAUGUAACAACAGUGAUCUCAGAGCACACCACAAGAACUCGUGCUCCUGCAUUAUUUUCUGCAAGAUCCUUAGCAGUUCGAAGGACAGUUCCACCUGCAUAGCACCCUUGAUGGUACAACAUCACCCUUCUAACGGAUGUUUCAAGACCUAAGAGAUUAGCGAGUUUGUAAUCUGCACCGGGCAUUUCUACACCGGAGGUUGUACAAAAUACAAGAUGGGUGAUCUUGGACUUUGGUUGGCCCCACUCUUUAAGAGCCUUCAAUGCUGCAUCCCUACCAAGUCUAGGUACCUCAGCAGUGAUAAUCUCUUGGCGUAUGUUAAGAGAUGGAGCCAUAUAAGCACCAAUGUUUGGGUGCUCCUCAAGCAUUUCUUCGGUCAAGUGAAUGUAACGCUUCUUGAUCAUUGAUUUGUCACCUGUAAAUGAAGUAACAUGAACACAUUAGUUUUACCAAUCGAGAAGUCAUAUAGUA
RNAcentral lists this long non-coding RNA (49601 nucleotides) under Vitis vinifera (wine grape). Its description in RNAcentral is "long non-coding RNA (VVIN_LNC005497)". The record is from RNAcentral. Lineage: Eukaryota; Viridiplantae; Streptophyta; Magnoliopsida; Vitales; Vitaceae.